This 57993-nucleotide long non-coding RNA is filed under the name Malus domestica (apple). Its description in RNAcentral is "long non-coding RNA (MDOM_LNC007869)". The record is from RNAcentral. Lineage: Eukaryota; Viridiplantae; Streptophyta; Magnoliopsida; Rosales; Rosaceae.
AUCAAUGAGACCAAUCAGAUUAUACCGACAAAAAAUUGGAGCAGAGAGAGCACUCCAGGUUAAGUAAUUGGUGGUGGUGAGCUUGAUCGGCACCAUGGAUCCAAUGUUUUGGAUCGUAAUGGAGGAAGAAACGAAAGAAUUAGGGUUUAAAGGUACAUUCGGAGAAACCGAUUCCGACGAAGGAGAUGCAGAGGUCGCCAUUGAUAGAUAACGAUGAAGGAGGAUCGAAGAACACAAACGAUGAUCAAGAAAUUAGAGACGAAGAUCGUGCUGCGACCAAGAAUCAGAGAAGAUCGCAUAAGGAAGCGCGACGGUUGGGAUCGAAGAAAGAGGAGUCGUGAGACAGAAAGCUGGGUGAUACCAUAUUAGGAAAAAUAUGAUUUCAUUUCAUGAAAAAUAAAAUUACACUUUGGGUAUUUAUAUACAAGUAUAUUGUAACCACUAGACAAGCAAAAUGUAACAAUCUAAUAGAAAACUUAACCACUAAGUAAUAUCUCUAGAUAGUGUAGUUACAAUAUUAUCCUUUAUACUCAGCUCACAGGUAUCAAACUUUCAACAGAAAUAUCUGAUUUGAUGAUGAUUUUGGGAAAUGGUUUCCUCACAAACCUGUUUAUUUCCAUCUCUUGAUUCUCCUUUGAUUUAUUUAAUCCAAAGACUAGAAAUAAAGAUGGGAGUCCAGGGGGAGAAUAUGAGUUUGCGGAAAUCACAUCCCAUGUUUACUUCUAGCUACUAACUUUUCUCUCAACUCAUUUGUAAAAGUCAUUGUAGCCGCAACAACCCAACAUAGAAUUCGGAAGUCUGAUGAACAAGAUGGUCACUCACGAACGUAAACUAGCGGUGCAGAAGACGAAGGUUUACAGGUCCUACUUGAAACUGAAUGAGAUUGAAAAGUACAUUGCCUACAUGGAAUGGUACAAGAAGUCGUCCAAAGAAAUGGGAAUUGGAUACUAUGACAGGUACAGAAACAAGCACUACAACAAAACAUUAUAUUUACCACGACAAUUUUAUCAUGGACUUUAGAAGCUCAUGGUAGAAAGGAAGCAAUUAUCACGGUCAAAGUCGGCCCGUGGUAAAUAUGAUUAAUUCAUCGUGGUUAUAUUCACGUCCGUUUUCUUUUAAGCAUUACGCGAGUGACAUUAUGGCCGAAGAGUACAAGAGGACGCUCUCAAGGUAUUGGCAUGACACGGUUGCAGAAGCUGGGAACAAGCGAGUAAUCCAGAUGCUAAGCCAAUGACCGAAUUUGAGCUUUACGUUCUGAAUAUGCUCGAGAAUUUCGCAGUUACGGUAGAUAUUUUCUUGGAGAAUAGUAGCUUCAUGCAUUGGUGGAACAAGUAUAAAGUAAUUGUGGGAAGCAACUACUCCUCAGCAUUUACCGAGGUCAUGAAGCGUAAGACAUAUCGCAAAUAUGCGGAUUGGGUCUCAAUUCGUACUGAUCAAUAAUCCAAGAUAAUUAAGUUUUAAGCAAGCAAUUAAAUCAGAUAAAGCAAGAUUAAUUUUGUUGUAUUGCUUAUGAUCUUCAUAGAGAGACGUGCAUUACUUUUUUUUAUUAUUUAUUUAAUUCUUUUUUUUGGAAAACCUCAACGGUACGAGAGGAAUUUUAUUGAUAACGAAAAAACAAGUUACACCUAGUCAGCGGGGACAUAAACCUUACCCCUAAAAAACAGAGACAACGAAAAGGAAUACACUAGAAAGAAGGGGGGAUAUAAAUCUUACCCUUCUAGAAACAAAAAACGAGAAUGAUACAAAUAAAAGAGGGGGGAACAUGAAACCUAACAUCUCUAGAACCAAACAUGAAGGUCUAAACCUGCAAAACAAGUUAAACAACACCAUAAAGAUAGGAGAAAAAAAAAGAAAGUGAGGCAAACCUAGAUGCCGACAUGCACAUUAAUUUGAGAAGCGGUAACCAGUCAAGUCAACAUAGUCAGAAAACAAAGCAGCACGAACUGCCAUCGAAGGAGAAUCAUGUCAUGUUAAAGAUGGAGAAGAAAAGCCCAUGUUCGCAAAAUUAUCCACAACAAGAUUUCCUUCGCGAUAUAUGUGAGGUGCGUAGAAAGUCAUUUUCCGAAUGCGAUCCAAACAAAUAGACCAUUGCUUAUUAAGAGGCCAAGGAGGAUCAAAAUUAGACGAUUGAUGAGCAAAAAUAACACUAGAACUAUCACUUUCCAACCAAAGACAAUGCCAACCCCGCUGAUAAGAAAACUCAAUACCAAUAAUAAUUGCUGAUAACUCUACAAAAAAAGAGUUGCAAUGACCAAUCCGUUGACAGAAACCUCCAAGAAAACGACCAUGGCAAUUCCUGAAAACUCCUCCACAUGCAGCAGGACCAGGAUUUCCUUUAGACAAACCAUCUUAAAUUUUGUGGUUUUCAACAUUUAGUACAUAAAGUUAUUUUUGUCCCCGAGUUAUACUAAAGUGUUAAUUUUGGGAUAGUCUCAUACAUUCGUUAGUAUAGCUGUUAAGUCUCCCGUUAAUUGAUGAUGUGAUGCUUAUGUGAACAAUAACUGGACGCCAUGUGUCAUUAAAAGGUCUACGUGGAAAUUCAAAAAAAAAAAAAAAUCGAAAUUUCAAAAUUCAAAAUUUAAAAACUUCAAAAAUUAAUAAAUUAAAAAAAAGGUGGGGAUAAUUUCUUCCUCUCUCACCGUCCUUUUUUCUCUCUUCUGCAAUUAUUGAGCUCUCUUUUGAAUCUCAGAUCCCCAGCAACCCUUGCCCUAGCGACCUUGUAACCCUCAGAAAAGGUUUGCAAACCUCGUAACCAUCGCCCUUUGUUAUGAUCCAAUUCUCUAAGCCCUUAAUCAAUUGGCAAGUAACAUAGAGGGUAGAGAGGAGGAGGGAAGGAGGAAGGUAGAAGGAGCAGAGCUCCAAUAUUUUUGUUUAUAUUUCUUUUUGUGUAAAUUCUCAUCUGAUUACAAUAGUGAGAGCUAGUGCUCUUAUACAAGUCACAACUCAUCAUGCCAGCUGGCUAAUUAUAACAAACUUCACUAAAACAGGAAUAGGCCUAAUAAUCCCAAGAUUAAAACCUUUAAUAAUGAUUAAGCUAAUCACUAAUUACAGAUCAUAUCAUUACUCACCCUCUUGAAAAACAACCUUGUCCUCAAGGUUAGGAUUAGCACUUGAAAUCUGGAACUUUUUCGCAGUGAAUUCAUCAUAAGCCUCUCUGCUUUUAUUGUCUAACCAAGGCACUGCACCAAAACUUGGAUUGCAAAAAUCUUGGUUGAUAUCUGCAACCCAUCCCAAAUGCUGAAAAAAAAAAGAACAAGCUUUGGAGAUGACUCCCCGCGAAGCCUUGAUGUCUUAGCUGGAAAGAAUUUAUCCCCGUCAUCGGAUGUAUGCAAAUUAUCCCUUACAAUCAAUUCUGAACCUUCCAAGCUGAGUCUCCUCGAAACAGAUGGGAAAUUUAUUAGAAAAAUAGAUCAGCCCACAUGUGUGUAAUCUAUAUACAAAAAAUCUCUCUCUUCAUUAGCCAAAUCGUUUCACAAAUCCCAAAACACAUAAUUAUAUCUUGAACAAUGCUAAUUAAUGAUUUCCCAUUUACUUAAGCCCAACAUCAACGCCAAUGAACUGAUGAAAGAGCGAAAAGGAGAAACAAAAAAACCUCAAUGAAGCAAUUAAAUGGAGAAUUACUUGAUAAUGCUGGAAAAUUACUACAAAAGGUUUGAAAAUUACCCGGUAAGAUUUAAAAAAAAAAAUAAAAAUAAAAAGAGUUGAUGUGGAGUGGAGUGGGAAUCACAUACCGCCAUCACCUUUAAAUAUGUAGUGCUCCCCUGAGAGAGCAUCAAUAGUGACUGUGCAGAGAAACAAAUGAUUGAGAAAUUCAAGCUAUGAGCUCAGAGUUGGGGCUUCCACUUUCCAACUGGGUAAGAAAUAAUAGAGAAAACACAGAGAGCCAAUCCACCAAAAAUAUUAAUCAAAUGGGUUUCUUCCAAUUCAAAAUUCGGACCACCCAAAUUCUGAUGAAGCAAUAACCAUUCAAAAUUCCAAUAGAUUGAAGCUCUCACAGACCACAAAUUAUCAAUACCCAGCAAUGAAAAAUUUGAUAACAGUAAUAAUGAAGGAAAAAGAAAUUAAAGCAACGAGCCAUUCUCUAAAUCUCAGGCACCAAUCCAAAUUUACAGAUGUGUUUUUCUUUUCUGUAAUCUGAUUAGAAAUUAUUAAAGAUGAUUACAUGAACCACCAAAUUCACCACCAAAUUUCAACAAAGAAGUAGCAAAGCACAACAAAAAAAAAAAAAAAAAAAAAAAUCAAAUAUUUGGCUUUCGGGUAGUUGAGAAGAAGUGAGAUUUAAUUACCUGUCAAAGGCUACAGUAAUUGGGAGCACAAUGGGGUGGCGAGGAGAUUGAACAGAUGAGGAAGCAAAGAACGAACAGAUCUCACAAAGCGAAAUCGAAAUCGCCAAUCGUGUUGCAGAGAACAGUUUUUUCCUUUUAGUAAAUAUAAUAUAAUAUAAUUUCUAUGCUAAAACCCAUGGUUCGGAGAAGAAUCUUGCAUGAUCACUAACAACGUAAGGGAAAAUCAAACUUCGUGGUGCUUGUUUUAUGAAUCUCUUUAUUUUUUAUUCCAAAUUUAAGAGUGUCUCACUUUUCCACAGUUUCUAAUCUGUUAUUGUUUUGGGAAAGUGGCUAAAAUGGUCUGAAAUCAUAUCUCAAUUCUCAAUUUAUGAACUUAUCAAAAUUAAAUAUCAACAACAUAUUGAAAAACUGAUAAUUUUAGUGAUUGGGUAAAAAAAUGAUCAUUUUAGCCAAAUUCCCUCUUAUUUUCUGUCGUCGUAAUUUUAGAUUGCAACUUUUGUAAGUUUUUCUGAUUUUGGUGUUGGUUUUUGUAGUUAAGAAUCAAGAAAUGUGUCACGCCCCGAUCUCGACAUUCGUCCAGGAUUGACACGUGACGUCACCAAAUACCUGUACAUCUACCAUACCACUCCUCCGGGAUACGGGCCAAACACAACUCACGAUCCAAAAGCGUAGUAAUUUUUUUCGUAUACUUUAUGGCUGCAUCUAACCUUCUCAUUAGAUUGCCUACGUACCCUAAACAGGGAUCAAGCCAUUCGUAGUUCGUCCUUCACUACCCUAGAACAAUCAUCACAUAAAUCAAUAUGUCUCAACAUAAUACCUUCAUCUAUAGCAUGUAACAUAUCAAAUAACCAAUGAAGCACAAUAAUAUUCUUUAGUCAUCAUGCCAUUCACCCACACAUAUGUUUUCCAACACCAUCCAACAAUCACACCAAUCAAUAACACAUACAAUACAUCGAAAUGCAGGGCUAGAGUGACAAAGUUCGGUCGAAUCCUACAUCCCUGAAGCUGAAAUCGAAUCCAAGGAGCCCAAACCACCCCUAGCCCGUCCCAUAUUCCUUCCCGAGCCCAGAGCUUAAACUCGAGCAACUCUCGGACCUCACAUCGGAGAAAACAGGAAAUGGAGAACUCCGGCAAGUUAUCAAAUUUUUCCGAUCGAGGUAAACUCGAAAUACCUUCAAUCUCUACCUUUUUGAUGUUCUGAUUCAAUUUUUGAGUUGUAUACGUGUUGUGACGACGUUUGGGUGCAAAAAUCAACUCUGGGAUGAACUCCUCGGUUUUCUGGCGAAGUUCGCAAGUUUCAGACCAUUUUUCUGGCCAAAACCUUUGGGCCAUUGUUCUAACCCAACCCAAUAACUCAGUUAACCUAAUCCAACCUAGCAAACCUAGCCCAACCCAGUGACUUGGAUAUGUGAAAUCGGCCCAAGCCCAGAUUCGUGGGCUAGAUCCGACUUGGGAUCCAGCCCGAUCCAAUUCCCAAAUGGAUUUGGAAUAUUCUUGGAAAUAUUCCUUGUGUUGACUUUUAUGAUAUUUUCUCAGGAACCUUCCUAGACUAAUUUCGACGCCUUGAGUCCCUUUUUUACAUCUAUUUAGUGAAAUUCUAAAGAUUUAGUGUAGUUGAUCAGCUCGGUGUCUCAGUUCACUUUUUGGGUCAAUUGUUGACUUUUUCGUUGACUUUUUACAAAAUUUACCCGAAACUACUCUUAGGGUAAUUUGACGCGCUGAUUCCGAUCCGCCAUCUGUUUCUCCAAAUUCAAAUGUUUUAAUUAAGUUUUUACUAAUGGGCCUCUAUUAUGCUUAGGUACUAUUUAGCAUUGGCGAAUUCGUAUUUACAUGUUCGAAUGGCAGUAACCUCGCAAGUACCUGUGAGUGGACCCCUUCUCAAAUUGCAUGCUUUCAUAACUAUUAGGCUUGCAUUCAUGAAAAUAAUAUUUUUAUAAUUCUAUAUUUUAUGAAUUAUUUAUGCUUUAUAUUUGAUUUAUAUUGCUUUCACGAAGUCUUUAUGAAUUAUCUUAAUAGCUUUUGAAGAAUUAUUUAUAAUCCAUUGGUUUAAUGUUUAUGAGAACUUGUAUUUAUGGAAAUCACGUUUAUGGAUUUAUAAGAUUUGAGAUAUGUUUUUUAUACUUAUCUAGUGGGUUAUUAUACAACACAUACACACAACUCGACUAUGUAGACUGACACACCCCGUUCCGAAGGAGGGCAUGCUGGCCGUCACGUAAGAGUGACGUAACCAUUUACACAGUUCGGAAGCUUUAAAGAUACAAUUACUAAGAUAUAACACCCGAGGGUGAAUCCUACUUUUGUGAAUUCUGUCAGAACACCGUUGGAUUCCUCGUGGCUACCAAAGCUCUGUUAACUUGAACCUGGAGGGGCGCAAACAAAAUUGAGUGGGUCAGUACAACAAAGUUUUUCGAAAACAUUUCAUUUAAAACAUUACUAACCCCUCGCCGUAAAACCUAAAUACUUUCCCAGAAAAUAACAUAAUAGUAUAUAAACAUAUAUAUAUAUAUAUAUAUAUAUAUAUCUAUAUAUAUCACCAAAAGCUCAAUUUAUAAUCCUUCAACGCUUUUCAGAAAGAAUAUGCCAUGCCAAGCCAUAUGCCAAAAUAUAAUAAAAAUGCAUCAAUAUAAAUCAGGUGAAAUAAUAAAUCAACCGGAGAUCCUACAGUGGUCCUGUACGGCUGAUUCUAUAGCUCAAUAUUCCAACCAGCCGGAGUCACCAACUGUGACCUGUACGGCCCUGCCGGAGUCACCAACUAUGACCUGUACGGCACUACACUGCACAUAUGCCGGAACUACCUAUAGUAGUCUGUACGACUAAGAUGGUGAAAUAAUACGCUCUAGUGCUUCUCUUAUUAAUCAUAUGUGCACAUAAUCUAAGGUCACCUACCAGUCGGAACCCCUCUAAUGGUCUGUACGACUGGCAUGUCGGAACCACCUCUAGUGGUCUGUACGACUAGCAUCUACUUGGAUCCUAGGUGAGCGUGUGAUGCAGGGUGAAUAACAUAAGCACUAACACCAGGGUUGCAGGUUACGAGCUCUCAACGUAAUUCACAUCAUCAUUCAUUCAUAUAAACCAUAUAAACUCACCUAAUACUCACAUGUGCGUCCACAGCACCAAUUCACAUAUAUAUAUGCAUCAAUAUCAAUUCAUAUAAUUUAUAAUAUGCAUCAUGGCAAUUGAAAACAUACUUUCAUAUAAUUUCAAUUUCUGGGACAAUUAAUAGUAUAUAGGUAAUACGAAAAAUAAAAACUGCCCACUCACCUGGAGUUCGCCCUACAACUCCCUAGCACAACACAUCAAGGCGUCAAGACGAUCGGCGCCUAGAACAAUAAUCAAAUCCAACCUCAGAAUCAUAUCGAUAGAAUAUAUAACUUAUAUAAAACACGUCAUUACGUAGUUCGAUCCGGAAGAUUUGCAAUUCAGAUUUCAAAUCCAUAACUUCCAGAGGUCCACAAUAUACCUCUAGGACAACAUCCUAAAAUUUCAUUAUCAUCCAAUGGUCGGAUCUCCGUCAAUCCCAAAACUAAGUGACGGUUAACAUUCUAUAUUAUGAACUUACAACUCCAAUUCCGAAAGAUCCAUAAAUCAGAUUCCCGAUCCGUAAUAUUUGAGGAUUAUAGGAUCGUGCUACGGUGGUAAAGUGGGCCGGGAUGUGAUCCACCCCGGGCCAGGAUGUGACAAAUGGUAUCAGAGCUAAUCCCUGGCCGGAAGUGUGCCGACGAGGACGUCGGGCCCCUAAUGAGGGUGGAUUGUAACAUUCCACAUUGCCUAGGGGAGUGAUCCUUAAAUGUAUAUUCUCAUCCCUACCUAGCACGAGGCCUUUUGAGAGCUCAAUGGCUUCGGGUUCCGUAGGAACUCCGAAGUUAAGCGAGAAGGAGGCCAGAGCACUCCCAGGAUGGGUGACCCACUGGGAAGUUGCUCGUGAGUUCCCAAAAACAAAAUCGUGAGGGAAUGGUAAGCCCAAAGCGGACAAUAUCGUGCUACGGUGGUAGAGUGGGCCCGUGAUGUGAUCCGCCCCGGGCCAGGAUGUGACAUAGACGUCUAUGGCCAUAGGACACAGUUGAGGAUAUUUAUGACAUACUCUCAGCUUCAUUGAAAAAAUCAGUGUUGGACAGCUUCACUAGCCACGACUAGUGUCGGUGUGUUAUGUUUAUAGUUAUAUUCUCUUCUCUAGCAUAACCCAGAGUCGUACAGCUUCACCUUAGGGUGAUGGGACCUACCAUGUUUCUUCACUAGCGUAACCCAGUGUCGUACAGCUUCACCUCUGGGUGAUGAUUAUGCCUUCAGGCGACUAUGAUACCUAUAGUUGAGUAUAUCACAGAGUUUAUUUACAAGAUUCUCAUAUCUACCUUCGGGUGUUACGAUACGAUUUCCAGAGAUGAUUUUAUCGUUACAAAAUUUUUAGCAUGCUAGAGUUUCCAGAAAAAACUAUUAUGUAGUAUUAUAUGGGUUUUCAAAUAGAGAGUUAAUAUGUUCAGAAAAAGAAAACGGUUUUAGUAUUAUCACUAUUAUUAUAAAUUAUGGUCCACUCACCCUUUCAUUCUUGUGCCUCUUUUAGGAUUUAGAAUCGAGGAGCAUGAUCCCGGCGUCAGUGCACUUCCGCAUAGGUAUCUUCGAGUCUUCUCAGUGUAUGACCUAUUUCCCUUGUUCGUACCUUUUUAUAAUAAUUCAUUCACAUUAUUCUUGCUUAGUUGUAGGUUUUGAACACGUUUCUUUCUUUAUAGUUACAUAUUUUAGUCACUUUCGUUUACUGAUACCACUUGCAUGCAUGUUAAAAUGGUUUCGUCACCUUCGGGUGUCAGCUAGCACGUGCCUACCCUGGUAUUUGAGGAUAUCGGGGUUGGGGCAUGUCAGCCUGGGUGGUCGUACUAUGCACAGGGGCGCGUGUGGGCCAGCAGACCUUGGGCCUACGCUGCGUGCUGGGCUAGUGCUUGCUCCUCAUGGGUCUAGGCCUAGCUAGUAGUGAGUUGGGCUCGACUGGCAACGAGUUGGCCUUGGGUCGUCUGCCCAUGGGCUCAUAUUGCUAGUUGGCUAGCGAUCUUUCGUGCACCUGGACCUGCUGCAGUGGCUUAUGCCUCAUUCCUUGGGCCUAAUAUGGCAGUUGUCACGCUUUCGGCCUCUUACAUGUGGUCCGUGAGUUCAUGUUCAGUGCAAGUGGCCAUUGUAGCACGCGUCUGGGCCUCGGCUUGGGCUGCUGUUGUGAAAUCACAUUCUUGGAUUUCACUAUUAUAAUUUCCAUGCUUCAUAUUCGUGAAAUUUUAUAUUAUUUUUUUGCAAAUUUAAUUUAAUUUAGUUAAUUUAGAAUAUUAAUUCCCUUGUUACAAAGUUUGAAAUUUUGAAAAUAAUCAUUUAAAAUUUGUAGACCUUUUAUGGUCAAAAUUAAUGUUUUCAAAAAGAGAUCAAUCAUACGAACGUGUAGGCGAAGGCCGUUCACGAAUCGAAGCUAUAACAAAGAAGUUAUGAGCAACGGAAGUUUGAGAUAAAUGUUAAUUUAGGACUUUCUCUAAAUGAAAGGUUACUAUGUUUAUUUGGAAGAGGGACCAAUUAGAUUGGGGGAAAGCCCAUUUAAUGGGAGGAUGGACCAAUCAGAAAGGGGAUGAGGGUUAACCAAUCAGAAAAGAGAGAACCAGCAGAGCCGGAUCCUCCCUCAACCCGCAUGACUCGGUUUCUGGCGACUUUUGCUUCCUUUUCUUUUGUCGAUUUUUUUGACGAGUUGGAGACAUCCAUCACCACCACAUGACUCACUAGCCUCCCCUCUUCAAUUCUCAACCAAACUCAACUCAGUUUUACUCUAAUUUCAUGAUGACCUCAUUCGGCGAGUCCAUGAGUCCUGUGUUGGUGAUCUGCCGUUUUUGAAAGUUAUUCUUUUGACCACCACCACCCACAGACACCCCUUAAGCCCAGGAACAUGACCCAAACAAGUUUGGGAUGGGCAGAGUAACAAAGAUGACGAAUCAAAGUGCACCAUUUUUAGGGUUUUCCGAUGGAUCAUGGUAUUAUCAGGCCUUAGACCUCGACCCAUGUAUAAAACUUACUCCCUUCUUCAAGAUCUUUAUUUUGGUAUACUUUGAGAAAUUUUGGAGUUAGGUGGAUUUUCCGGCAAAUCAGGGCGAUUAACCACCUCGUGCGGUGGUGCAUGCCGGUGGCGCGUAGCUCGAGGACCCAGUUGAUCAUUCUUGAGUACAUUCGAUGUCCAAUUCCAUAUUUGAUAUCCGAUUGACAAAAUUUUGUUUCUUGAACAUAUUUUCGUUAGGGUUGUUUGUACCAUACUUGAUCAAUCCCGAAACUACCGAGCAUCGAUUAACGUUAUACCGUCAAGGACCCAGAAGAGUUUCCCACUAACCAGGAGGCCAAUCACAGCGAGACACGUGUCGACAUCAGAAGCCAAUUAUAGCAUGACACGUGUCAACAUUGGAAGUCAAUCACAACACGACAUGUGUCAAUGUCAGAACAAAGCUAGAAACUCUCUUCUAUAAAAGGAGAUCAUUCUCCCACAAUAUUGCCUAAUGUCACUUGUACUAAAUCAUUCACUAGUACUCACUAAAGGAGAGCUUGAACCUAUGUACUUGUGUAAACCUUUCACAAUUAAUGAUAACUCAUCUACUCCGUGGACGUAGCCAAUCUGGGUGAACCACAUAUAUCUUGUGUUUGCUUCAUUGUCUCUAUCCAUUUGCAUACUUAUCCACACUAGUGACUGGAGCAAUCUAGCGAAAGUCACAAACUUAACACUUUCUGUUGUACCAAAGUCCUCACUGAUUUUAUGCAUAAACAUUUGGCGCCGUCUGUGGGAACGACACUUAUUCCCACUCUCUUCAGCUUUGUCAAGCUGGUUUCCACCAUUCGUACACUCUCUUUUGACCAAGCAUCCCUCUCUAACAUGGGGAGCGAAAGAAGCCACAGCACACAGAAUGACACCCAUCUUGCACCUAGUGCGAAGCAACGAAAGAAUGAAGGAAAGAGGGUUGCUCUUCAAGCUAAAGUAAAUGAGCUAGAAGCUCAGAACAACAAGUUAGCAAUGAAGAAUGAGGUCCUUUAGGAGCAGUAUGAGAAGCUCUUUAAGACUCUCCACGAAACUAGGCGUACUCAAACACGCGAGCUCGUUACCCCUGUGGACAUCAACCAUCAUCUGGAUGCCCCCCAACACAGAGGGUCACAUUCAUUCGACAUGGGUAUCCCUGAUAAGGAGUGAGCUAAUCAUCAAAACAUUGAUCAACAUGAGACUUCUCUUAACCCAGCUGCUUCGACCUGAAGCAGGAGAAGUGGAGGAAGACACAUCCUUGUAGAAGGGUUAGAAAGAUCGAAAGCCGUUUAUCGUGACUGCCGAGACUUCCUAAAGUAACGUCGAGAGAAUCCCUCCCCCACAUAAGCUCGAAGAUCAAUGACCCAAGAGUUUCUAAAAGACUCGGUCCUCUCCCACGACCCAGGCCAGCUGCCAAUCUAGGGAAGGAAUGACAUGUCCCAGAGGAACAUGAAGGUACAGAAGACUCGGAGGUAUUCCGACAGACUCACCUUAGAAGUCAAUACGGCAAGUCCAAGGAAAAACCACACGCUCUUGCUCAAACUUUCCUACUUCCAAAAGGCGAUGGAAACUUGCGGAAGAAAAUUCCAGUGGUACAUGACUCCACUCAGGACCCCUUUGUCCUACAGCUUCUUGAAGAAGUAAACAAGUUGAAGGCCAAACAUCAGGCCGAGAUACCUGACUGGAACCAACCCAGGCCUGACCCUCUCACAAGAAGGAUCCUUGACACCCCCUUCAAGCGAAGACAAAACAAAAGCUUGAUUUACAACUCUAUACUGAAAUAGAGGACUCGAUUGAACACCUUAACCUCUUUGAGUCCACCAUGGCAUAUCAGAUGCUCUAAACUGAUGACUUGUACAAUAUUAGCCAAAAGUUGGAUGAGUUACUACGUUCAGCCAUAAGUAUUCUCGCUGCGUUGAGGCAGAUGACAAGACCGCCCUCAAGGCCUACGUGAUUGUUUCUUCAAGUACAUGAUCAAUGCCAACACUUAGAGGACUUACUCUGAGGUGAUGGCACAGGCUUACAACCACGCCUCUGCCUAAGCAAGGACAUACCAAAGGAACCCCCAUAUGGUUAACCCCUAUCAACAAGUAGGAAGUGGAAGUCAAGUUCUACCAAGUGAGGAUAUAUUGACCAUUCAGACACCCAUUGCAUUAUCUCCUAGCUCAUUUAGCUACUCGCUAAGUCACCAAACGUAUUUGUCUCUUGGUAAGAGGAAUGAUUUUUACUCUCAGCAAGCCCAUUACAACAAGAGGGAUAAUAGUUCGUAUCAAGACAACCAGGGGUGAAUGUACCAUUGACUAUUAUGACUAUGGGGCCAAGCCUCACUCUUUCAAAGCAGAGGACUAGGUACUGAAGGAAAUGCUAUUAUAAGAAGGCAUAUACAUUACAAAUGUUUUGACCCUUAAUCGCUUGAGAUAUUUUGUCACACAAGCCAUUCGGCAACUAUUUAAAGAAGAAGGAAUUCAGACAACUUCUCUUGAGUCUUUUGCAUUCCUAGCACUGGAACACUUGGUCUAUGCUGACUACCCCUAUACUCCAACUCAGAGCUUCAACAUGCAUACUUUGACACAAAGUAUGUGAUACUAAGUGUUACAACCAACAUGAUUCACAUAUCGAAAGCAUGGAUCCCUUCAUGCAUAGCAAAACAUUCAUAAGCAUCACUCAUGUCAAUCAACAUAAACAUCAUACGUUCCAAUACAUUCAUACAUAAACAUCAUACAUUCCAACACAUCCAUACAUAUGCCAACUGUGCUUCGAAAAGGUUCAACAUACUUUGUGUCAUUCAACAUUUGCUACAAUGUGCCUCGACACCUUGUCCUUAUUCUAACUAACCAGGUGAUGAAAUGUAAAAGAAGGAACUCAUCUUCAUGCCACCAACCAGGUGAUGAAAUGUACAACCCGUACUCUAAUAUCAUUUGGCAACUUGCCACUCAUGCCACCAACCUGGUGAAGAAGAAACUCAUCUUCAUACCACCAACCAGGUGAUAAAAUGUACAACCCGUACUCUCCUUCAUGCCAUCAACCAGGUAAUGAAAUGUACAACCCGUACUCUAAUAUCAUUUGUCAACUUGCCACCCAUGCCACCAACCAGGUGAAGAAGGAACUCAUCUUCGUGCCACCAACCAGGUGAUGAAAUGUACAACCCGUACUCUUCUUCAUGCCACCAACUAGGUGAUGAAAUGUACAACCCGUACUCUAAUAUCAUUUGGCAACUUUCUAUUCAUGCCACCAACCAGGUGAAGAAGGAACUCAUCUUCAUGCCACCAACCAGGUGAUGAAAUGUGAUGAAAGGUAAUGAAGGAACUCACCUUCGUACCACCAACCAAGUGAUGAAAGCAACUCACCAUUCAUUCCACCAACCAAAAGACGAGUGGUACAACUUGUACAUGUGAACUCCUAGCAUUCACAAAUAAUAAAAAACCCUCAAGCUUCACACAGUCUUAUGCCUAACAAGAGUUAUAGUCACCAACAAAGUCUUAUUGCAAGCCAACAAUGGCUUCAGUGCAUGGUAUACGAAGAUCAAGCUCUUCAGCCCUCUUGCAUCUGCUCCAGACAUUUCUCUUCUGUAACAAUGCCAACACUACAACUCGUAGAAAGCUUCACACACUCUUGAUCAAGAUUGUUCGAAGCAAAUUAAAUUUAUAUGGUUCAUCCAAACCUUCGACUACUACAAGGUGUGGCUUGCAUCACAAUCUCUUGCUCAAUAGUGUAGAAGCAAAAUUUGUAAAUGUUAUCUCUCCCACAUUUUCAAAUUUCUAGUUUCCAAAAAAAAAAAAAAAUUGGGAAAUUCAACAAAACUUCAUUAAUGGAGGACAACUACAAAUUCUCAAAAGCUUCAUACUAUCUUGAUCAAGAUAGUGUGAAGCAAAAUCAAUUCAUGGUACCUAACAAAGCUUCAACCUCAAAGCUUCACAUACAAAGCUUCAACAAAUGGAGGGCAACUACAAAUUCUCAAAAGCUUCACACUAUCUUGAUCAAGAUAGUGUGAAGCAAAAUCAAUUCAUGGUACCCAACAAAGCUUCACCUACAAAGCUUCACCACAAAAGGUUCACCAACAAAAGCUUCAACAAAUGGAGGGCAACUACAAAUUCUCAAAAGCUUCACACUAUCUUGAUCAAGAUAGUGUGAAGCAAAAUCAAUUCAUGGUAUCCAACAAAGCUUCACCUACAAAAGAUUCAACACCAAAGCUUCACCUACAAAAGCUUCAACACCAAAGUUUCACCUACAAAAGCUUUACCUACAAAAGCUUCAACACCAAAGCUUCACCUAUAAAGUUCAACACCAAAGCUUCACCUACAAAGCUUCAACACCAAAGCUUCACCUACAAAGCUUCAACUCCAAAGCUUCACCUACAAAAGUUUCAACCCCAAAGCUUCACCUACAAAGCUUCAACAUCAAAGCUUCACCUACAAAGUUUCACCUACAAAGCUUCAACAUCAAAGCUUCACCUACAAAGCUUCAACUCCAAAAGUUGCUUCACCUACAUAAGCUUCAACUCCAAAAGCUGCUUCACCUACAAAGCUUCAACUCCAAAGCUUUACCUACAAAAGCUUCAACUCCAAAAGCUUCACCUACAAAGCUUAUAUAUAUAUAUAUAUAUAUAUAUAUAUAUAUAUAUUUUUUUUUUUUUUUGAAAAUUCGAAAAAAAUAAAAUAAAAAUUCCAAAAUUUGAAGAAAAAAAAAUUCAAAAAAUUCAAAAAAAAAGAAAAGAGAGCCUAUACCUCACAUUUCUUUGGGCGUAACAACUUUCAUAACAAAUGUACAUGAAAGAGAGGGGUUUUGGGGCUACCACUUAGAAAGGAAAAUGGUGAAGUUUUGUUACUUUUGAAAACUUGGCUACUAGCAAGACACCUCCUUCGUCAACUCCCUCGACCGAAGACUUGGGGGACUCCUACCAUAAGCUACUACACCUCGGUACUUAGAAGUUUCACGACUACUCAGUGACUUGGAUCUUUCAAGUCUCCAAACGAGAAGUUUUCCUCACUCGGGAAAUUAAGGGAGCACUACCUUAACCUACAUGCUUCACUCACAAAGCUUCAACAUACAAGCUUCAACAAAAGAAAAAAAAAUUAAAGAACUUAGUGAAGGAGGCCUUGGUGUAUUUAACACAAUACGUUGAAAUGAAGCAAAGCUUAUUUAUUGAUAUCUCCGAUAAGUUACAAAUAUGUAUAUAUACAUGAAUCAAAAUAAACAAACAAAAGGGAGCCUUCACAAAAGUUGCUCAGGAGAAGUCUCAGCAGUCGGCAGAGCCCCAGAAAAAGAAGGCACCAGAGGGUGAUCAUUCGGAGCCUCAGUACUGGACAGAACCCCAAAAUGAGGAGGCAUCAGAGGUUGAUCAUUUAGAGCUUCAUUACGCGAUACAGCCCCAGAAGACGAAGGCAAUAAAUGCCUUUGGAACAAACCCACAAACCUCUGAUGAUCAAGCAAAAUCUGACCAUCAGAUUCCUGCAUCUGGUUAAGCUUUCUCUUCAUGUUUGUAACAAAGUCAUGUGCGAGCCUGUGCAAUUGUUUAUUCUCAUGCUUAAGCCCUUUAAUCUCCUGUUUGAGACUUAUCACUUCAGCCGCCAAUGAUUCAACUUGGUGGGUUCGAGCAAAUAGGCGUUGGGCCAUAUUAGACACAAAACCUGCACACUGAACACUGAGAGCCAGAGAAUCCUUAACAGCCAACUCAUCAGACCAUUUGGAAAGUAGUCUGUUAUCUUUGGGAGUGAGAAGGUUCCUGGCCACCACCGCAGCGGUCAUAUCAUUCUUCAUCACAGAGUCCCCAAUGGUAAGAUGACCAGUAAGGGAUAAGAAGGAUGGGCAUCAUAUGUUGUCUUGAAGAGGUAUGGUUGCCUCUUCACCAAAGUUCAAGUCAAAACGACGGUCGGAUGGGCCAGACAUUUUCAGAAAUGAUGAAAGAGAAAUGAGGUCCAAUAAAUCUCUGAAGUACGAAAAUAAAGGGAAAAUUCCUACAAGCAAUAACUAUUUAAACGUACUUCUUGCACAUAAUUGGUGGUCCUAUAAAAGAAAGGGCAGCAGGGCCGUUUGUUCAAAAAUAGAAGAGGCACCAUUAUCUGGAUUUCGAGAAGCAGAUUUUUCCUGAGUAAAAUAUGUCGACAAUCCCCACACACAACAUCAGCUCAUCGGGUACCACAGAUAACUUUUGCGAAAGAUCUCUGACAAAGUUUAUACACAUAAAUUUUGAAGGUCCAGCUACCUUACCAUUACCCACACUGGUAAAGGAACAGCACCACUGCUUGAUAACUGGAAAGUCCCUAUGUGUGUCAACCUCCGUGCUCCGUGGCAAGGUACACAACAAACAACAACAACAAAGCCUUUUCCCACUAAGUGGGGUCGGCUAUAUGAAUCCUAGAGAACGCCAUUGCGCUCGGUUUUGUGUCAUGUCCUCCGUUAGAUCCAAGUACUCUAAGUCUUUUCUUAGAGUCUCUUCCAAAAGUUUUCCUAGGUCUUCCUCUACCCCUUCGGCCCUGAACCUCUGUCCCGUAGUCACAUCUUCGAANAAAGUCUUAUUGCAAGCCAACAAUGGCUUCAGUGCAUGGUAUACGAAAGAUCAAGCUCUUCAGCCCUCUUGCAUCUGCUCCAGACAUUUCUCUUCUGUAACAAUGCCAACACUACAACUCGUAGAAAGCUUCACACACUCUUGAUCAAGAUUGUUCGAAGCAAAUUAAAUUUAUAUGGUUCAUCCAAACCUUCGACUACUACAAGGUGUGGCUUGCAUCACAAUCUCUUGCUCAAUAGUGUAGAAGCAAAAUUUGUAAAUGUUAUCUCUCCCACAUUUUCAAAUUUCUAGUUUCCAAAAAAAAAAAAAAAUUGGGAAAUUCAACAAAACUUCAUUAAUGGAGGACAACUACAAAUUCUCAAAAGCUUCAUACUAUCUUGAUUCAAGAUAGUGUGAAGCAAAAUCAAUUCAUGGUACCUAACAAAGCUUCAACCUCAAAGCUUCACAUACAAGCUUCAACAAAUGGAGGGCAACUACAAAUUCUCAAAAGCUUCACACUAUCUUGAUCAAGAUAGUGUGAAGCAAAAUCAAUUCAUGGUACCAACAAAGCUUCACCUACAAAGCUUCACCACAAAAGGUUCACCAACAAAAGCUUCAACAAAUGGAGGGCAACUACAAAUUCUCAAAAGCUUCACACUAUCUUGAUCAAGAUAGUGUGAAGCAAAAUCAAUUCAUGGUAUCCAACAAAGCUUCACCUACAAAAGAUUCAACACCAAAGCUUCACCUACAAAAGCUUCAAACACCAAAGUUUCACCUACAAAAGCUUUUACCUACAAAAGCUUCAACACCAAAAGCUUCACCUAUAAAAGUUCAACACCAAAGCUUCACCUACAAAGCUUCAACACCAAAGCUUCACCUACAAAGCUUCAACUCCAAAGCUUCACCUACAAAAGUUUCAACCCCAAAGCUUCACCUACAAAGCUUCAACAUCAAAGCUUCACCUACAAAGUUUCACCUACAAAGCUUCAACAUCAAAGCUUCACCUACAAAGCUUCAACUCCAAAAGUUGCUUCACCUACAUAAGCUUCAACUCCAAAAGCUGCUUCACCUACAAAGCUUCAACUCCAAAGCUUUACCUACAAAAGCUUCAACUCCAAAAGCUUCACCUACAAAGCUUAUAUAUAUUAUAUAUAUAUAUAUAUAUAUAUAUAUAUUUUUUUUUUUUUUUUUGAAAAUUCGAAAAAAAUAAAAUAAAAAAUUCCAAAAUUUGAAGAAAAAAAAAUUCAAAAAUUCAAAAAAAAAGAAAGAGAGCCUAUACCUCACAUUCUUUGGGCGUAACAACUUUCAUAACAAAUGUACAUGAAAGAGGGGUUUUGGGCUACCACUUAGAAAGGAAAAUGGUGAAGUUUUGUUACUUUGAAAACUUGGCUACUAGCAAGACACCUCCUUCGUCAACUCCCUCGACCGAAGACUUGGGGGACUCCUACCAUAAGCUACUACACCUCGGUACUUAGAAGUUUCACGACUACUCAGUGACUUGGAUCUUUCAAGUCUCCAAACGAGAAGUUUUCCUCACUCGGGAAAUUAAGGGAGCACUACCUUAACCUACAUGCUUCACUCACAAAGCUUCAACAUACAAGCUUCAACAAAAGAAAAAAAAAUUAAAGAACUUAGUGAAGGAGGCCUUGGUGUAUUUAACACAAUACGUUGAAAUGAAGCAAAGCUUAUUUAUUGAUAUCUCCGAUAAGUUACAAAUAUGUAUAUAUACAUGAAUCAAAAUAAACAAACAAAAGGGAGCCUUCACAAAAGUUGCUCAGGAGAAGUCUCAGCAGUCGGCAGAGCCCCAGAAAAAGAAGGCACCAGAGGGUGAUCAUUCGGAGCCUCAGUACUGGACAGAACCCCAAAAAUGAGGAGGCAUCAGAGGUUGAUCAUUUAGAGCUUCAUUACGCGAUACAGCCCCAGAAGACGAAGGCAAUAAAUGCCUUUGGAACAAACCCACAAACCUCUGAUGAUCAAGCAAAAUCUGACCAUCAGAUUCCUGCAUCUGGUUAAGCUUUCUCUUCAUGUUUGUAACAAAGUCAUGUGCGAGCCUGUGCAAUUGUUUAUUCUCAUGCUUAAGCCCUUUAAUCUCCUGUUUGAGACUUAUCACUUCAGCCGCCAAUGAUUCAACUUGGUGGGUUCGAGCAAAUAGGCGUUGGGCCAUAUUAGACACAAAACCUGCACACUGAACACUGAGAGCCAGAGAAUCCUUAACAGCCAACUCAUCAGACCAUUUGGAAAGUAGUCUGUUAUCUUUAUCUUGGGGAGUGAGAAGGUUCCUGGCCACCACCGCAGCGGUCAUAUCAUUCUUCAUCACAGAGUCCCCAAUGGUAAGAUGACCAGUAAGGGAUAAGAAGGAUGGGCAUCAUAUGUUGUCUUGAAGAGGUAUGGUUGCCUCUUCACCAAAGUUCAAGUCAAAACGACGGUCGGAUGGGCCAGACAUUUUCAGAAAUGAUGAAAGAGAAAUGAGGUCCAAUAAAUCUCUGAAGUACGAAAAUAAAGGGAAAAUUCCUACAAGCAAUAACUAUUUAAACGUACUUCUUGCACAUAAUUGGUGGUCCUAUAAAAGAAAGGGCAGCAGGGCCGUUUGUUCAAAAAUAGAAGAGGCACCAUUAUCUGGAUUUCGAGAAGCAGAUUUUUCCUGAGUAAAAUAUGUCGACAAUCCCCACACACAACAUCAGCUCAUCGGGUACCACAGAUAACUUUGCGAAAGAUCUCUGACAAAGUUUAUACACAUAAAUUUUGAAGGUCCAGCUACCUUACCAUUACCCACACUGGUAAAGGAACAGCACCACUGCUUGAUAACUGGAAAGUCCCUAUGUGUGUCAACCUCCGUGCUCCGUGGCAAGGUACACAACAACAACAACAACAAAGCCUUUUCCCACUAAGUGGGGUCGGCUAUAUGAAUCCUAGAACGCCAUUGCGCUCGGUUUUGUGUCAUGUCCUCCGUUAGAUCCAAGUACUCUAAGUCUUUUCUUAGAGUCUCUUCCAAAGUUUUCCUAGGUCUUCCUCUACCCCUUCGGCCCUGAACCUCUGUCCCGUAGUCACAUCUUCGAACCGGAGCGUCAGUCGGCCUUCUUUGCACAUGUCCAAAUCACCAGAGCUGAUUUUCUCUCAUCUUUCCUACAAUUUCGGCUACUCCUACUGUACCUCGGAUAUCCUCAUUCCCAAUCUUAUCCUUUCUCGUGUGCCCACACAUCCCACGAAGCAUCCUCAUCUCCGCUACACCCAUUUUGUGUACGUGUUGAUGCUUCACCACCCAACAUUCUCUGCCAUACAACAUCGCUGGCCUUAUUGCCGUCCUAUAAAAUUUUCCCUUGAGCUUCAGUGGCCUACGACGGUCACACAACACGUCGGAUGCACUCUUUCCAUCCAGCUCGUAUUCUAUGGUUGAGAUCUCCAUCUAAUUCUCCGUUCUCUUGCAAGAUAGAUCAUAGGUAACGAAAACGGUCGCUUUUUGUGAUCUUCGCUAGAUUGCUCCGGUCAUUAGUGUGGAUAAGUAAAUAAAUGGAUAGAGAUAGGAAAGCAAACACAAGAUGUACGUGGUUCACCCAGAUUGGCUACGUCCACGGAAUAGAAGAGUUCUCAUUAAUUGUGAAGGGUUUACACAAGUACAUAGGUUCAAGCUCUCCUUUAGUGAGUACGAGUGAAUGAUUUAGUACAAAUGACAUUAGGAAAUAUUGUGGGAGAAUGAUCUCGUAAUCACGAAACUUCUAAGUAUCGGAGUGUGGUGUCGUCUUGACUUGCCUUAUCUGUCUCAUAGGUAGAUGUGGCAUCUUCUCUGGAAGUACUCUUCCUCCAUCCAGGGGUGGUAUCUUUAACUGGUGGAGAUGCACAAGGUAAUGUAUCAAUUUCACUUGAAGCUUACUUGUAGUUUCAGGCUUGGUCAAGCGCGAUACAAACCAUGUAGUAGAAGUCCCCCAAGUCGCCGAGCUAGGGGGUCUGCUGAAAGAGGUGACAGACAAGGUAAGCAAUCAGAGCUCCGACUGAUUGUUCACCUUCUCCCCAUCUUGCAGCAGCAUGAAGGAUAAAGAGAAGAAAAAUGAGAAGAGAUGAUAUGAGAUACUUUUGCUUUUGAAGAAGUAACUUUCCACAGGCUUAUUCUUGAACUAAGCUGGAGGGUUUUCUGGUUUCCUCCAGAGUAUAAGGCCGACUGAAGAAUUUGAGGGUCAAAACAAGUCCAUCAAAUCUAGAGUACGUUCCACCCUGCUGAUAUGGGAUACUUUUGCUUUUGACAGAGUAAUGGAUGUAUCGGCACGUGUGCUGUUACGCUUGUCUCCACAUGCUUCCUUGUAUCCUUCGCACUUGCCCUAUCUGUUCCUCAAGCAGAUGCGGAAUCUUCCCUGGAAACAUAAGAUGUUGAAGAUGAGUACUCGAGAGCAAUGCCAGGUAAGUAAUCAGGUAAGGGGUUCCAGGCAGUCAGUUCCUGGCUGGAAGCUUGAUUCCAAGUGCUGACUGAUUGCUCUCUUUCUCCUUGUCUUGCAGGUAAAAACAAGGCCAAAAGAAAAAACAGGAAAAAAAGCAUGAUAUGGGAUACUCUUGCUUUUAACCCUGAUGAUAUGAGAUAUUCUUGCUCUAGUAUAGCUUGUUUGCAGAGGUAUUAUCGGGGGGGAAAAGAAAGCUGAAUAUUUCGAAAGGCUUUGUUGGGAGUGCCCUCUCAGAUAUGAUGAAGGGUUGAGCAUUUUUGCAGGUCUGCCUGUCCGUUGGGGAUGGAGGUCGACAUAUAUAGGAGUCUCCCUAACAACAAGUAGUAAUGCUAUUCCUUUACCCUGCUUGGUCAUAGCACGGUAGUGGGAGCUGCCAGUUUCACAUGUUUUAACUCUGUCAGAGCACUUUGAAAAAAGUGGUCUGUGGUAUCUGGCUCUCGAGAUUCGAAGAACGAUGCCUCUUCGAUUUUUGAGAAAGCAAUCAUGUUGGGGGUCUGACUCUCGAGAUUCGGAGAGUAGUGUCUCUUCGAUUUUUGAGGAAGUAAUCAUGUUGGGAGUCUGGCUCUCGAGAUUCGGAGGGCGGUGCCUCUUCGAUUUUGGAGCAAGCAAUCUUGUUGGGAGUGUUGUCUCGAAUGUGAGUAAAGGUUGGACAUGUUUGCUAGUCUACCUUGCCACGAAGCACAAAGGUUGACACAUAGGGACUUUCCAAUUAUCCAGCAAUGGUACUGUUCCUUUACCCUCUCUUCGAUUUUGAGAAAGUAGUCAUGUUGGGAGUCUGACUCUCGAGAUUCGGAGGACGGUGCCUCUUCGAUUUUGGAGCAAGCAAUCUUGUUGGGACUGUUUUCUCGAAUGUGAGUAAAGGUUGGGCAUGUUUGCUAGUCUACCUUGCCACGAAGCACAGAGGUUGACACACAGGGACUUUCCAAUUAUCCAGCAGUGGUACUGUUCCUUUACCCUUGUGGGUAAUAAUAUGGUAGCUAGACCUUCAAAAUUUAUGUGUCGACAUGACACAGGAUCGAGCACAAUGGCGUUCUAAGAUUCAUAUAGCCGAUCCCACUCAGUGACUUGGAUUUUCCAAGUCUCAAACCAAGAAGUUUUCCUCACUCGGGAAAUUAAGGGAACACUACCCCAACCUACAUGCUCCACUCAGAAAGCUUCAACAUACAAGCUUCAACAAAAGAAAAUUCAAAGAACUUAGCGAAGAAGGCUUUGGUGUAUUUAACACAAUACGUUGAAAUGAAGGAAAGCUUAUUUAUUGAUAUCCCCGAUAAGCUACAAAUAUGUACAUAUACAUGAGUCAAAAUAAACACACAAGAGGGAGCCUUCACAAAGGUUGCUUAGGAGAAGUCUCAGCAGUCGGUAGAGCCCCAGAAAGAGAAGGCACCGGAGGGGGAUCAUUUGGAGCCUCAGUACUGGACAGAACCCUAGAAGGAGGAGGCAUCAGAGGUUGAUCAUUUGGAGCUUCAUUACGCGGUACAGCCCCAGAAGACGAAGGCAAUAAAUGCCUUUGGAACAAACCCACAAAUCUCUGAUGAUCAAGUAAAACCUGACCAUCAGUUUCCUUCAUCUGGUCAAGCUUCCUCUUCAUGUUUGUAGCAUAGUCAUGUGCGAGCCGGUGCAACUGUUUAUUCUCAUGCUUGAGCCCUCUAAUCUCCUGUUUGAGACUCAUCACUUCAGCCGCCAAUGAUUCAACUUGGCGGGUUCGAGCAAAUAGGCGUUGUGCCAUAUUAGACACAGAACUUGCACUCUGAACACUGAGAGCCAGCGAAUCCUUAACAGCUAACUCAUCAGACCGUUUGGAAAGUAGUCUGUUAUCUUUGGGAGUGAGAAGGUUCCUGGCCACCACCGCAGCGGUCAUAUCAUUCUUCAUCACGGAAUCCCCAACGGUAAGAGGACCAGUUGGGGAGACGAAGGAUGGGCGCCAUAUGUUGUCUGGAGAAGGCGGGGCUGCCUCUUCAACAAGGUUCAAGUCAAAACGACGGUCGGAGGGGCCAGACAUUUUCAAAGGUGUUGGAGAGAGAAGAGGUCGGACAAAUCAAGAUCUUAGAAGUGCAAGAAUGAAGCUUCUACUGGUGGAGAUUCAAGUGUGCUUUGGAACUUAAUGUCAGCCCCUAUAAAAAUCUGCACUCGACGGAGCUUCAGAAAUCAAAGAGGCGCCUGCUCAGAAAUCGAAGAGGCGUUUGCUUUCUCAAAAGUUGGGCUGCUUAGAGAUCACGAGGGUUGAUCUCAGAAAUCGAAGAGCCGUUUGCUUUCUCAAAAGUUGGGCUGCUCAAAGACCACGAAGGCCGAUCUCAGAAAUCGAAGAGGCGCUCGCUUUCUCAAAAGCUGGGCUCCCUAGAGACCACGAGGGCCGAUCUCAGAAAUCGAAGCUGCACCUACUUUUCCAGCCUUGUCAGCACCUGUCACACGCACACUCAGCUUUGCGGAAAUUAUGGGCAUUCUGUCAAAAGACUUCUGGGGAAGUAGAAAACACAUGAAUCUUACUGUUCAAUCACCCACUUCCCACACGCAACAAUAGCUCAUGGGUACCACAGAUAACUUUGCCAAAGUUCUCUGCCAAAGUUGAGCACGUGAAGCUUGCAGCUCCCACUACAUCGCUCUGACCAAGAAGGGUAAAAGAAUAGCAAAGAAACAGCACUAACAAAGUUUAGACCCAUAAAUUUUGAAGGUCUAGCUACCAUAUUAUUACCCACAAGGGUAAAGGAACAGUACCACUGCUGGAUAAUUGGAAAGUCCAUGUAUGUCAACCUCUGUGCUUCGUGGCAAGGUAGACUAGCAAACAUGCCCAACCUUUACUCACAUUCGAGAAAACACUCCCAACAAGAUUGCUUGCUCCAAAAUCGAAGAGGCACCGCCCUCCGAAUCUCGAGAGCCACUCUCCCAACAUGAUUACUUUCUCAAAAAUCGAAGAGACACUGCUCCCCGAAUCUCGAGAGCCAGACCCCCAGCAUGAUUGCUUUCUCAAAAAUCGGUGAGGCACCGUUCUCCGAAUCAAUCGAAGAGGCGCUCGCUUUCUCAAAAGCUGGGCUGCUCAGAGACCACGAGGGCCGAUCUCAGAAAUCAAAGAGGCACCUACUUUUCUAGCCUUGUCAGCACCUGUCACACGCACAUUCAGUUUUGCAGAAAUUAUGGGCAUUCUGUCGAAGACUUGCCCAACCUUUACUCAUAUCGAGAAAACACUCCCAACAUGAUUACUUUCUUAAAAAUUAAAGAGGCACCGCUCCCCGACUCUCGAGAGCCAGACUCUCACCAUGAUUGCUUUCUCAAAAAUCGAAGAGGCACCGCUAUCCGAAUCUCAAGAACCAGACUCCCACCAGGAUUACUUUCUCAAAAAUCGAAGAGGCACCGCUAUCCGAAUCUCGAGAGACAGACUCCCACCAUGAUCGCUUUCUCAAAAAUCAAAGAAGCGCCGCUAUUUAAAUCUCGAGAGCCAAAUCCCCAAUAGGAUUUCUUGUUCAAAAAUUGAAGAGGCAACGCUCUCCGAAUCUCAAGAGCUAAAUCCCCAACAGGAUUGCUUGUUCAAAAACCAAAGAGGCACCGCUCUCCGAACUUCGAGAGCCAGAUUUCCUUGGAUAGAAUUUGUCUGCAAUCUUCACACGCAACAUCAGCUUUCCAGAUACCACAUACCACUUUUUCAAAGUGCUCUGACAAAGUUACACAUGAAGCUUGCAACUCCCACUACAUUGCUAUGACCAAGACGGGUAAAUGAAUAGCAUUACUAUUUGUUGUUAGGAAGACUCCUAUAUAUGUCGACCUUCAUCCUCCACGGACAGGCAGACAUACAAAAAUGCUCAACCCUUCCUCAUAUCUGAGAGGGCACUCCCAACGAAGCCUCUCGAAAUACUCAGCUUUCUUCCCCCCAAUAAUACCUAUGCAAACCAGCCACACCAGAGCAAGAGUAUCUCAUAUCAUCAGGGUCAAAAGCAAGAGUAUCUCAUAUCAUGCUUUUUCCCUUCCAUUUCCUUUGCCCUUGUUCUUACCUGCAAGACAAUGAGAAAGAGAGCAAUCAGUCAACACUUGGAAUCAAGCUUCUAGUCAGGAACUGACUGCCUGGAACCCCUUGCAUGAUUACUUACCUGGCAUUGCUCUCGAUUACUCAACUUCAACAUCUUAUGCUUCUAGAGAAGAUACCACAUCUAUCUGAGGAACAGAUAGGGCAAGUGAGAAGGAUAUAAGAAAGCAUGUGGAAACAAGCAUAACAGAACACGUGCUGAUACAUCCACUACUUUGUCAACAGAAAAAGUAUCUCAUAUCAUCAGGGUCAAACGUACUCUAGAUUUGAUGGACUUGUUUUGACCCUCAAAUUCUUGAGUCGGCCUUAUACUCUGGAGGAAACCAGAAAACCUUCCAGCCCAGUUCAAGAAUAAGUCUGUGGAAAGUUACUUCUUCAAAAGCAAAAGUAUCUCAUAUCAUCUCUUCUCAUUUUUCUUCUCUUUAUCCUUCUUGCUGCCUGCAAGAUAAGGAGAAUGAGAACAAUCAGCCGGAACUCGAAAUCAAACUUCUAAUCUGGGACUGAUUGCUUGGAACUCUGAUUGCUUACCUUAUCUGUCACCUCUUUCGGUAAAUCUCCUAACUCGGCGACUUGAGGGACUCCUACUACAUGGUUUGUAUCGCGCUUGACCAAGCCUGAAACUACAAGUAAGCUUCAAGUCAAAUUGAUACAUUACCUUGUGCAUCUCCACCGGUUAAAGAUACCACCUCUAGAUGGAGGAAAAGUACUUCCAGAGAAGAUGCCACAUCUACCUAUGAGACAGAUAAGGCAAGUGAAGAUGAUACCACACUUCAGUACUUAAAAGCUUCAUGAUUACUCAGCUGCUUGGAUCUUGCAAGUCCCCAACCGAGGAGCUUCCCUCACUCGGGAACUUAGGGGAGCACUGUUUGUACCAUACUUAACCAAUCCCGAAACUACCGAGCACCGGUCAACGUUAUACCGUCAAAGACCCAGAAGAGUUUCCUUCCAACCAGGAGGCCAAUCACAGCGCGACACGUGUUGACAUCAGUAGCCAAUUAUAGCGCGACACGUGUCGACAUCAGAAGCCAAUCACAACACGACACGUGUCAAUGUCAAAACAAAGCUAGAAACUCUCUUCUAUAAAAGGAGAUCAUUCUCCCACAAUAUUGCCUAAUGUCAUUUGUACUACAUCACUCACUAGUACUCACUAAAGGAGAGCUUGAACCAAUGUACUUGUGUAAACCCUUCACAAUUAAUGAGAACUCCUCUACUCCGUGAACGUAGCCAAUCUGGGUGAACCACGUACAUCUUGUGUUUGCUUCCCUGUCUCUAUCCAUUUGCAUACUUAUCCACACUAAUGAUUGGAGCAAUCUAGCGAAAGUCACAAACUUAACACUUUCUGUUGUACCAAAGUCCUCACUGAUUUUGUGCAUCAACAAGGGUCUACCACUUGAAUAUUGUAACAUUGAGAUGUGGAGGCAAUUGAAGAUUAGAGUUUGAUUAUCAAGGAAAUGGAAACAAGCUUCAGGCUUGGUUUGAGAUGUGGAGGCAACUGCUGAUACAUAUAUGUUUGGAUGUUAUGUUUAGAAUUAUUUAAUUUUGCAUUGACAUGGUUAAAAUUCUAGAAAGAAAAAAACAUGAGAUUAUUCCUUGUUAUGAUGUUCAAGAUAUGAACUGUGAUAGCCACAACUAUUAUGUCGUAUUUUAGAAGAAUUACUUGUUGCCUUUAGCAACAAUUUGAUUUUGUUGAAAAGAAGGAAGAAAGAUGCUAUUUGUGGCAUUUGUUAUGCUAUUUGUUUCAUAGGAAAUCUGGAAAAAUCUACCAUAAAUCCCUCCAAUUUUUUUUUUCGUCAGCAAAAUCAAUUCCAAAUGAAAGAUUAAUGAGGCUUUCAAAAAAAAAAGUUUAAAAAAUGAAAAUGCUCAAAGUCCAAGCAUUCUCACCAAUUUAUUUUAGUCAUUAAAAGUAUACUUAAUGAGGUUUUCAAAAUUCUAGGCACAUUAAAAACAAUAUAAGGGAAAAUUCAGAAAUCAUAUUAAAAUAAUUAAAAUAGAUAAAUCAGAAAUAUGUAAGGAGUGUGGAUUGAGAUUUUGGGGGUGUCAAUAACAGCUUCCUAUGAAAUUUUCUUGGUUAUUCUGUACUAAAAUAUAUAAAUACAAAUAUAUAUAUAUAGAACUGUUAUUAGCACUCCAAAAAUCUCAUUUUACACUCCUCACAAGUGUAUUUUUCUUUCCAAUUAUAGAAAGUUUGGAGGGUCAAAUGAAAUUUUUGAAGUGCUAAUAACAAUUAUAUAUAUAUAUAUAUAUAUUUGUUAAAUAGUUUUAUUAUUUUUUUAAAUUUUGGAAAAUAAUUUAUAACGGACAUUAGCUGUGGUCAAUUAGUAAUCGACAAUGGUCAUAGCACAUGGUGUUAAACCCCAAUCCACCAAGGGUACAAUCCAUGGUUAUAUUGCAAUUGACAACGGGUAUAGCCUAUCCUAGAAAUUGAGACUUUUUAUUACAUCUAGAAUACUAACGGACACAGUAUCCGUGGUGGAUUGUAAUUUAUCACGAGUAGGGGUAGUAUUGGUACAAUUACCGUACCAAAACCCAUGUACCAACCAUAUGAUAUGACAAAUCUAUUACCAUUACCAUGCCAAACUCUCGGUAUACCGAAUUUCGGCAUGCCAAAUGGUUUGAUUGGCAUGGUAUGGUAAUGAUAAUUACCACUUUGUUUUGGGCCAAAAUUUGAUUUUUUCUUUUUCUUUUUCAACCCAAUUCAAGGCCCAAACGUGUUUUGGCCACUCUUUUUGGCUUUCUAAAACUUUUUAAUUUAAUUAUGAGAAUUUUAUAGAGAUUCAUUUAAGAAACAAGAAGUAAAUAGAUAGAAGAAUUGCUGAGAAAACCCAACAUCCCUAAAAAAAAUAGUACAAAGAUUCUUAAAUUCCAUCUCUACAUUCUUUGUACAAAAAUUAACUUGAUAGACGAAGCUAGGGCGAAAGACAUCCCAAUUUGAUGAAGGAGAAGAUGAGAUGGACUGCGAAAAGAGAGAGUCGCUGGAAUGGGAGCAAUAGAGAUGAAGCAUAUGGCUAAGAGUCGCAGAGCAAGAAGGCUUAUGUUUUUAUUGGGAAAGUAGAGGUUAAACGGUGAGAUGAUUUGAUAAAUGACUAGGAAAAAAAAUAUAACAUGCAUAUAUAAUGAUAAUAAUACAUAAUUAUAUAUAUAAAUGAAUAAAUAAAUGAUAUAAUAUUAAUAGUAGUGGCACGGUACGGUAUACCAUUGGUAAGUUUUAAGUAUCAUUAUCGUACCGAAAAUGUAUGGUACGAUAUAAAUACCAUACCAUUACCAAUGGUACAAAUUUUUUGACACAACUUUAGUAUGGUACGGUUGGUAAUUCAGUUGGUAUGAUAAUUUGGCAAAAAAUCCACCCCUCACAGGCAUUCAUCGUAAUGGAUGGACUUUUUUUUCCUAAUAUAUACCACUUAUGUUACGAGCAUAAAGAAAAAUUUCUCUAAACAAGGAGCAAGUGGGAAUAAUAAAUCUCAACUUUAGCACGUAAACGUAGAUAACAAGACGAGUAAAAGCAUCGAGGCAACGUUCUCCGAGAAGCUUUCAGGAACAAGAUCCGUUGACCACGAAGUAGACUUUCCUGUGCAUAGUCGACUUGGUGGGAGGUUUGCUCGUGGGGCCAUUUGAUUGGUGGGACAAAGACGUCCGUAAUUAUAAUUAUAAUGAUAGGAUUGAUUCCUCUACUCUAGAUUGAAUUGGAGCUGAAUGAUUGAAUUUGUACGGCCCUGAUUGGGCGGAUUCCGCAUUGGUCAUCAUGGCUUUGAUUGAUUAAAUGGACGUCCAGCUAGCUUGAAUUGGAACUGAAUGAUUGAACUUAAACGGUCCUGAUUGGGCGGACUCCUCUUUGGUCAUCAUGGCUCUGAUUGAUAUCAGUAUAAAGAAAGACAUUGACCAUUCUGGUUUCCAAUUCUCUCCAUCUACUGUUUUUGAGCAGAUCGGCAAAACUUGAAGAUGAACAAGUAAGUCAACUUCAAACUCCUCCGAUCCUUAUUUUUCUUUGAAUCCUUUGUCGUUGAUUGAUCUUAUAUUGUCUUGAUUAAGCAGACAUUGUUCUGAAAUGGCUGAAGGUGUUUUUUAAAAUCGUUGAUUGAACAAGUUAAAGCUCUUACGGUUAAAUCUGGCAAAAGAAAAUUACAAAACGCUUUUAGAUAGUGUAAGCUCUUUUCGGAAAAGCACUUGCUAUGGCUAGACUUUUACCAAACACAAUUUUAGCUCCAACUUUUCUAAAAACUGUUUUUAAAAAUAAAAUUGAGCAACCUCAGACCCGCCCAUGUCAACCUUCAAGUUUUCAAGUGCUUUUUGAAAGAGCACUUGAGUAUUUAAUAAAUAUGUCUAAUCUGUUCAUAGUAAAAGAGAACUGCUUAUGAGUAGAGUGUUUCUUACGAGUACAAUGGCUUUAUAAUCGUCCUUAUAAUUUACCAAUGUGUUUUGCUAAAGUGACUUCACUAGAAAUACGACGAAAGUUCUUUAGAAAACACUUCUCCGACUCGUGUACAUUUUUAAGUUUUUCUUUCAAUAUAAUGAAAAACACUUUUGAUCGUUAGAGUGACAUUGUUAGCUAUUUCAAAAACAGUUUCAAACGUAUUUGUUAUGGUUGGGUGUUAUUGGCUUACAUCCUCCAUUUAACUUUGCUUCAAUAUUUUGUUGGUGAUGACAGUAUUAGCAGUGCUGGGCUUGAACUAGCAAAUGUGCUGGUGACUUCUCCUCCCCUGCACCAGUCAUGGGCAGCUGUUCAGAAGCAAAAGCUCAACACAGCUCCUGAUCCGAAUACGCAAACGGCCUUAUAUGUUACUGAAACCAAGCAUUCAAACACCACCAUCAUAUCUUUUCUUACUUCACCCGUCAUGCUUCAAGAUCCACAAGCAAUGAUUUCGUCGUUGACUCUGAGGGACAAAAAUUUUCCCCUCUUUGAGUUUUUGUGCAGCAAAAACGCCCCAAUUUUCUCCGUCAAUGAAUUGGCAAUCGAAUUCUUCGCCUUGAAUCACAACGACCUCAACCUCGAUCUUCUGAGGACAAAGGUGCAUAUUGUUGUCUCUCUGAUAACUGAUUGUGUUUAACUGCUUAGACUAUUAAUGUUAGUGAGAAACAUUUAAAAAUCAUGUUUAUAAAUGUUAGAUUAUGUUGGCGCGAAACACUUACAAACCCUUGAUUAAUACUGUUAUAAGGGGCAUUUAUUGCAUCGUAUUAUCUCAGACUUGACUAGCUUGCUUGGUUUGGACUUAAGCAUGAUAAGAAUAGGGGCUCAAAAAAUUAAUUUCAAUUUUCUUUUAGUUUUUUUACUUCUCCCUCCACCAGUUACACACCUCACUCAAUAAAAUGUCCUACGAACACCAGAACUUCACUAUGCACUACGUGCAACGAACAUAAUUAUAUUUUCCACUUUGUAAUUGUGCAGAGACUUUCAUAAUUUUCUUUCAAAUUAACACUACCAAUCUUUAUUAGAACCAAAAAAUGGAAAAACUUAUUGAUUUGCACAAUUUACUAGAUUUUAAAAUUGCCAGAUACUUUUUAUGAAGGGAAAAAAAAACAAACUUUAACGAAAAGCAUUCGGUACUGUUCACUUUAACGAAAAACCACAUUUUUGCCCUAAAAAAUCAAUCCUGGUACUAUUCACUUUAUCAUUUAUUUUGUCCUUAUCAUUAAAACUCAAAGUUUUCAAGUCUCUUUCAUUAGUUUUCUUAAAAAAAAAUUAUGCGUGAACAACACUUCUCACAAAAAAAAAAAAUAAUGAAAUAUAUAAAUACAUACCAAAGUAAAUGUUUGCACACACUAACAUGCAAUAUAUGCAGUUUUUCAUUUUGUCAAACAAAUACAACAUAGCACAUUAAAGACAUUUUGUAAAUCCUAUGGGUUGGUUAAUAUGGGCAACAACCUUGGGUUUGGUUGUCAAGUACUUAGCAGGAUCUUCGAAAUUGUUCCAUAACACUGCUCCGAAAUUGCAUUCUUUAAUCCCUGCUUGCAAAUGCAAAAGUGGUUAUCAAUCGCUCCCUACUACUGUAAAAGGGAGAUAAUGAUAGAACUAAUUCAAUGUGAAAAACUAUAAGCUUCAAUGAAAUCAAAUGACAGGAGAAAAUUAAUGCAAGUCACCACUUCUUGAGGAUGAAGAGGGAGAGCAUCGAUGAAUAUUUUACUUCAAAUUAAGGGAUUUCUUCUAAGGAGGUUUAUAGGGUUACCUAUUUGCAAGAUGACAUUUAUGUAAACCUGUGUGGAUAACGGAGAACAUGUAGUUAAUAUAUUAUAGUUGAGAAAAGCUAUCUUUCUUCUUGUAGUUCAUUUGUAAAUUUAUAAGAAUACCUCAUGUUUAUGUAUUACCAUCACCCAGCUUUAAACCAUAUAAACAUGUGUGGAUGACUGAUUUUGUAACGUAAAAGAUAGAAAAUCAAGAUGACAUUUAGAAGUCAAGAUAAGUAGGAAAGGGAUGCAAAAAAGAAGUGGGAAAGGGAUGCAAGAUAAGUGGAAGUCACAAAGCGGAUAGCUUUUCAUAUGGCCUCAAGGUUGAUAAAUUUACAAUGGUUAAGGAUGCAAAUCCGAUAUCUCCAUAAGUUUGAGUCAGUAGAGGCACUUGAAAAUAGAAUGAUAAGAUGGUAACUUCAUUCUGGUUAAUCGAAUGUUUUAGCUAGCAGCAAGUGGGUCAAGGCUCGAUGCCAAAGUCAUAAACUAUGGUUUUAAAGCACAUUUCAGCCACCAAAACCCAGAGUACUCAUGUCAAAUAUUAACAGCCAAAAUCCUGAGUACACACGAUAAACUAUAAUUCAUUAAUGGGAAUGAAACAUCUGAGAAAAUGUGAACUCAACAACCAAAACCCAGUGUACCCAUGUCAAAUAUUAACAACAAAGGAAUUUAUGUAUGUAUGUCAGGAAUCAAACAAAAAAUUAUCACCCAAAAUAAAAAUCAAUCAGGGGUGCUUUAUGUAAUAGGAAGCCCAGAACCACUGUUCUAAGUGUUAGGCGGUUGGCCACCACCCCGAUUAAUGCCUAGACAUUUGAAAAUUAAGAAAGGGCGUAUUGACUUGUUGAGGCACCCUCCUAGACCGCCUCGAGACCCGCCUAGACCGCCUAACCCGUCUAGAUCUGCCUAGGCAUCCGCCUAGGUCACAACUCACUUAAACAGAAAAUAGAUCACUUUCAUUUUGCAUUUUAUUUUUCAAUAAAUUGUAAGAGACUUGUUGCAUACUUAAAUGAACACACAUUAUAUCCUUGUUCCCCAUGAUUUCAUUAUGUUUCAAUACUUCAUAAUGUAUAUGUCAUUCUAUUUUGUAGUUUAUGAUGAAAUUAUAUAUAUUUUAAAUAUAAAUACGUACUUAUUUACACGAAAUAUAAUAGAUUUUACUUAAAUCCGCCUAGUCCGCCUAGGCCCCGUCUAGCCGCCUAGGUUCUUGGUCCAAACCCGCCGCCCUACUAGCGCCUUUUAGAACCUUACCCAAAACAAAAUAAAAAAACGGCUAUAUGGGUUAUAGAUCAGAAAAUGGUGCUUUUGCAUGCUCAAAAGAUUGUUAAAAGGCCAUAAAAUGGUGAUUAUUAUGUAACCAAAUUGGAGAAUUUUGGAUAAGAUUAAACAACAAUAAGCAGGGAACAAAGAAAAAAUUGCAAUCAAUUUACAAAAACUUAGCAAUAAGUUCACAUAAGGAAAAAUAGCAGAUAAAUUGGGUAGCAAUCAAUUAAAAAGCGCACCCAAUCACAGAACACAAAUGUACACGCACCCAAUUUUUGUGCUAGAAAUUCAAAAUUUUUAGAGAUUUCGCAUGCAAACAAUGAAAUCAAUCAAAACCCAAUAAUAAUUACGAUCUGCAAAACAAAAUUGAAGAAAUUGAUUGUCAAAUUCAGAAUUUACCAAACAGGACGAGGAUGAAGGAGCGGGACGAGGAUGAGGGAGCAGAAUGAGCAUGACCAGGAUGGGUUAGCAGGACCAGGACGAGCGAGCAACUGUCUCGAAGAUGGUCGUAGCAAUCCGAUGAUAUUGGGGUUCUCGCUAAGAACUUCUAGUGAAGCAGUUUGUUGGAGCAAGUUUGACUUAAUCCCAUUAAACUUAAUUCUUCUGUCUAACAAACACAAGAUUACACUAACAAUUAGUCCUAUUCAGUUCAAUGAGAUCUAGUGAGCCUAAACAAACACACCCUAAGAGCUUAAUGUAGUAACAGUUGAGUCCCUUCCCCCUUUAAAGAAAAUUAAUGAAAAAUGCUUCAAAACUUUACAUUUUAAUAAAAAAUUAUUUAGUAACUUUAUUUAAUGAUAAAGAUAAAAAAAAUAAAAAAUUUAAACAUGCAUGUGCCUAGCCCGCGUCCCCCUCUCCCCCCCCCCCCAAUAUAACCAAAUAAGAAAAAGUAAAUGAAAACACACUACACAUACAUAUGAUAUUAUGUAUGAAUUAGCUAACUGUAACAACGAUGACACCUAUUUUUAGGCCUUUGACAAAAUAAGUUAACACAAACACACGUCUGGUGCUAUAAUCUCGUAAGUUUCACAAACAGUGUAGUACUAUUAAAUUUCAUAAACAAUGUUAAGUUUCAUAAACAGUAUAGUAAGUUUCAUAAACAAUGUGUAUGUAGACGCACGGUCCCCUGCGUUAGUUUUUUUUUUUUUUAAAUUAUGUCUUUUUCAUUAAAAUUUAAAGUUCUUUUGUCAUUUUUAUUAAAGUUUAAGAGUUUUUCAUUAAUAUUUAAGUAUUUUUUAUUAAAUAAAGUUAUAGCAUGAUUUUUUGUUAAAAUAAAUUUAAUCAAAUGCCUUUUCAUGAAAGUUCCCUUUCUUUAUUGUUUCAAAACCGAGUUUUAAGUAUUUUUUUUUUUCUAAUAUGAAUGAAGUUCUGAGGACCUUAUUCGUAGAGACGUCUCCGAACUGAUUAAAUGGCAGUUCAGUAAUUGACUAACUUUUAUGUAAUAUUUCAGCUGGUAGAAAGAAGCAAAUCCAACUCAUUGGUACUUGUCACUGGACAAUCUUUUGGAGGCGCUGUAGCUACCCUUUUCACCUUAUGGCUGCUAGAAAGCCUCGACUUAUCGAAAGUGAAACGUCCCCUUUGUAUCGCUUUUGGUUCACCUUUGAUCGGUGACAAACAAUUCGGACAAUGUGUGUUGCAAUUCCCAUUGUGGAGUUCUUGCUUCUUGAAUGUAGCCUCCAUCGAUGAUCCUGUACUUCAAUUCUUCCAAACCGCUUCGCAAGCGAGUGGUUAUAAGCCUUUCGGAACAUUCCUACUGUGCUCCUCUUCGGGUGGUUCUUGCUUUGAGGACCCUGAUGCCAUUUUGCAACUAUUGGUGGAAACCAGCUCUCGGUGUGCCCAAAAUCCAGGUCUGAAUUCAGGGAUUCAGUUGUUCGAUUACGGAAAGAUUUUGAAUGAUCUCAAGACUAAGGCAUUGUCUAGAGAUGUCUUUGAGUUGGUUGAAGAGGAUAGAGUUCCACUUAAAGCUGGAAUUAAAACACAGUUGGCAGCAAUAUUAGGAGUUCUCAGCUCACAGGUAUCAAACUUUCAACAGAAAUAUCUGAUUUGAUGAUGAUUUUGGGAAAUGGGUUCCGCACAAACCUGUUUAUUUCCAUCUCUUGAUUCUCCUUUGAUUUAUUUAAUCCAAAGACUAGAAAUAAACACGGGUGUGCAGGGGGGGAAUAUGAGAUUGCGGAAAUCACACCCCAUGUUUUGCUUCUAGCUACUAACUUUUCUCUCAACUACUUUUGUAAAAGUCAUUGCAGCAGCAACAACCCAACAUAGAAUUCGAAAGUCUGAUGAAAAAGAUGGUCACUCACGAACGUAAACUAGCGAUGCAGAAGACGAAGGUUUACAGUUCCUACUUGAAACUGAAUGAGAUGGAAAAGUACAUGGCCUACAUGGAAUGGUACAAGAUGUCGUCCGAAGACAUGGGAAUAGGAUACUAUGACAGGUACAGAAACAAGCGUUACGCGAGUGACAUUAUGGCCGAAGAGUACAAGAGGACGCUCUCAAGGUAUUGGCAUGACACGGUUACAGAAGCUGCGAACAAGCCCCGGCAAGAAGGAGCCGCAAUGCCAGCCCCUUUUCUUUUUGCUGGAACGAAUUACAGAAAGAUGAUCGAACCACUUUGCAUUGCAGAGUACUACAAGGAAGGUGGAAAAGAUUACAUAGAGGAAAGGCCUGGACAUUUCGUUCUUUUGGAGCAAUGGUACAAUGAAGAGGAGGAAAAUAAGAAGAAAGAGAGGGAAGAAAAGGAGAACCCACAACUGCGCAGCGCAAGCAAGCCCAAUUCAAAAGCGAAGAACGAGGCUCCUAAUCUGAAUGAUGAUUCUUGUUUUUGGGCGCACGUCGAGGAAGCGCUUAUCUGGUGCAACGAACAAGCGAGUAAUCCAGAUGCUAAGCCAAUGACCGAAUAUGAGCUUUACGUUCUGAAUAUGCUCGAGAAUUUCGCAGUUACGGUUGAUAUUUUCUUGAAAAAUAGCAGCUUCAUGCAUUGGUGGAACAAGUAUAAAGUAAUUGUGGGAAGCAACUACUCCUCAGCAUUUACCGAGGUCAUGAAGCGUAAGACUUAUCGCAAAUAUGCGGAUGGGGUCUCAGUUCGUACUGAUCAAUAAUCCAAUAUAAUUAAGUUUUAAGCAAGCAAUUAAAUCAGAUAAAGCAAGAUUAAUUUUGCUGUAUCGCUUAUGAUCUUCAUAGAGAGACGUGCAUUACUUGCAGGGCUUGUUGGUGCUACUAGUACUACUUUUGGAUAUUUUAAUUUGUUUGUGGUUUCUUUUUGUGUGGGGGUAAUGUUUCAAGGGGUAAAUCUCAGUUUAGUAUUCUUAAAUUUUGUGUUUUUCAACAUGUAGUACAUUAAGUUAUUUUUGUCUCCGAGUUAUACUUAAAUUGUUAAUUUUGGGACAGUCUCAUACAUCCGUUAGUCUGACUGUUAAGUCUCCCAUUAAUUGAUGAUGCGACGCCUAUGUGAACAAUAACUGGACGUCAUGUGUCAUUAAAAGGUUCACGUGGAAAUUCAAAAAAAAAAAAAAAAAAAAACCGAAAUUUCAAAAUUCAAAAUUUUAAAAUUUCAAAAAUUAAUAAAUUAAAAAAAGGUGGGGAUAAUUUCUUCCUCUAUCCCCGUCCCUUUUUCUCUCUUAUGCAAUUAUUGAGCUCUCCUUUGAAUCUCAGAUCCCCAGCAACCCUUGCCCUUGCGACCUUGUAACCCUUAGCAGAGGUUUGCAAACCUCGUAACCAUCGCCUUUUGUUACGAUCCAAUUCUCUAAACCCUUAAUCAACUGGCAAGUAACACAGAGGGUCGAGAGGAGGAGGGAAGGAGGAAGGUAGAAGGAGCGGAGCUCCAAUAUUUUUGUUUAUAUUUCUUUUUGUGUAAAUUCUCAUCUGAUUACAAUAGUGAGAGCUAGUGCUCUUGAGUCUUAUACAAGUCACAACUCAUCAUGCCAGCUAGCUAAUUAUAACAAACUUCACUAAAACAGGAAUAAGCCUAAUAAUCCCAAGAUUAAAACCCUUAAUAGUGAUUAAGCUAAUCACUAAUUACAGAUCAUAUCAUUACUCCCCCCUUGAAAAACAACCUUGUCCUCAAGGUUAGGAUUAGCACUUGAAAUCUGGAACUUUUUCGCAGUGAAUUCAUCAUAAGCCUCUUUGCUUUUAUUGUCUGACCAAGGCACUGCACCAAAACUUGGACUGCAAAAACCUUGGUUGAUAUCUGCAACCUAUCCCAGAUGCUGAAAAAAAAAAAAAAGAGAACAAGCUUUGGAGAUGACUCCCCGCGAAGCCUUGAUGUCUCAGCUGGAAAGAAUUUCUCCCCGUCAUGUGAUGUAUGCAGAUUAUCCCUUACAAUCAAUUCUGGACCUUCCAAGCUGAGUCUCCCUGAAACAGAUGGGAAAUUUAUUAGAAAAAUAGAUCAGCCCACAUGUGUGUAAUCUAUAUACAAAAAAUCACUCUCUUCAUUAGCCAAAUCGUUUCACAAAUCCCAAAACACAGAACUAUAUCUUGAACAGUGCUAAUUAAUGAUUUCCCAUUUACUUAAGCCCAACAUCAGCGCCAAUGAACUGAUGAAAGAGCGAAAAAGAGAAACAAAAAACCUCAAUGAAGCAAUUAAAUGGAGAAUUACUUGAUAGUGCUGGAAAAUUACUACAAAACGUUUGAAAAUUACCCAUUAAGAUUAUAAAAAAUUAAAAAAAAUUAAAAAAAAAAGAUGAUGUGGAGUGGAGUGGGAAUCACAUACCGCCAUCACCUUUAAAUAUGUAGUGCUCCCCUGAAAGAGCAUCAAGAGUGACUGUGCAGAGAAACGAAUGAUUGAAAAAUUCAAGCUCUGAGCUCAAAGUUGGGGCUUCCACUUUCCAACUGGGGAAGAAAUAAUAAAGAAAACACAGAAUCCAUCAAAAAUAUUAAUCAAAUGGGUUUCUUCUAAUUCAAAAUUUGGACCACCCAAAUUCUGAUGAAGAAAUAACCAUUCAAAAUUCCAACAGAUUGAAGCUCUCACAGACUACAAAUUAUCAAUACCCAGCAAUAAAAAAUUUGAAAACAGUAAUAAUGAAGGAAAAAGAAAUUAAAGCUGCGAGCCAUUCUCUAAAUCUCAGGCACCAAUCCAAAUCACCAGUAAUUUGCACAUAAUGAUAAGAAUCUAGCAGUAUUUCCAUUGUUUAAAACCCAAAUUCUAGAAAUCAUGAAAAAUGGAAACUUUAUAUGGAAAUUGAAGCUUUACCUGCAGAUUAGCAGCAGCAAACGAAUCCAACGGCAUAUACCUCAAAAGUGAGUGACAGAGAAAGAGAGAGCUAAGAGAUGAGUGAGAGAAUCGAUAAACAAAAACCCCCAUAACCACAAAAGGAAAUUUGAACAAAAACAAAUAUGCAAAUCCAAAAUCACAAAAACGAAAUGAAACACCCACACCGAGAAAGUUGUAAAACUCACCAGAAGCACAGUGCUUCCCAAAAUUCUAGUUGUUUCACUCCUCUCUUCCCCAAAUUUACAGGUAUGUUUUUCUUUUCUGUAAUCUGAUUAUAAAUUAUUAAAGAUGAUUACACGAACCACCGAAAUCACCACCAAAUUUCAACAAAGAAGUAACUAAGCACAACAAAAAGAAGAAGAAAAAAAAGGUUAAACUCUGUUUACUACCCUCAUGUUUCGUGGUUUUCAACAUUUAGUACAUCAAGUUUUUUUCGUCCCAGAGUCAUACCUAAAGUGUUAAUUUUGGAACAAUCUCAUACAUCUGUUAGUCAAACUGUUUAUUCUCCCGUUAAGUGAUGACGUGGCACCUAUAUGGACAAUGACUGGACUCCAGGUGUCAUUAAAUAUAUUAAAAUAAUUAAUUAAAUAAAAGUUUUAAAAAAAAAACCCAUCCCUCCUUCCCCCCUCCCCCAACCCAACCCAACCCAGAAGAAGAAAAAGGUGGAGGAAGAAAAGGGAGAAAAAGAAACCAAAUCUGGGAAGAAGAAGAAGGAAAAAAAAACCGAAUUUGGGAAGAAGAAGAAGAAGAAGAAGAAUGAGGAGGAAGAAGAUGAAGAAGACGAAGAAGAAGGAGGGAGAAGAAGAGAAAGAAGAGGAAGAAGAAGAAGAAGAAGAAGGAAGAAGAAGAAAAAAAAAACCGAAUCUGGGAAGAAAAAGAAGAAGAAGAAGAAAAAAAAAACCGAAUCUGGGAAGAAGAAGAAAGAAGAAGAAGAAGGAAGAAGAAGAGGAAGAAGAAGAAGGAGAAGGAGGAAGAAUGAUGAAGUAGAAGAAGAAGAAAAAAAAAACUGAAUAUGGGAAGAAGAAGAAGAAGAAGAAGAAGAAAAAGAAAAAAAACAGCAGCCCAAACCCAGUUCGUCCCCCUCCCCCCUGCAACCCACCUGCCUUCUCCCUCGUCCCGCGAACACGACCCACCUGUCUUCCUUCUUCUUCUUCUGGGUUACAAAUUCGAUUUUUUUUCUUCUUCUUCUUCUUCUUCUUCUUCUUCUUCUUCUAGGGGGGGCGGGGGAGAAGGAUGGGGUUUUUUUUUAAUUUAUAUUUAAUUAAUUAUUUUAAUUUUUUUUUAAUGAGACGUGGCACCCAGUCAUUGUCCACAUAGGCACCACGUUAUCACUUAAUGGGAUAAUUAACAGUUUGACUAACGGAUGUAUGAGACUGUCCCAAAAUUAACAUUUUAGGUAUGACUCUAGGAUGAAAAAAACUUGAUGUACUAAAUGUUGAAAACCACGAAACAUUAGGGUAGUAAACAGAGUUUAAUAAAAAAAAAUCAAAUAUUUGGCUUUUGGGUAUUUGAGAAAAAGUGAGAUUUAAUUACCUGUCACAGGCUACAGUAAUUGGGAGCACGAUGGGGCGGCGAGGAGAUUGAACAGAUAAGGAAGCAAAGAUCGAACAUAUAUCACGAAGCGGAAUCAAAAUCGUCAAUCGUGUUGCAGAGCACAGUUUUUUCCUUUUUGGAUUUCUGCGGUUUCUGAGGAAGAAGUCGAGAGACUUAUUGGACACCUAAGGUUAUAACCGACCUUUUAAUGUGUAAUGUACACAAAAAAGCAAGACUUGAAGAGCAACUGAAGGGCAAAAUGGGAAGAACAUUGUCGAAGGAACAGUGUUUCAGUUCUUUUUCUCUUUUAGUUAAUAUAAUAUAAUUGCUAUGCUAAAACCCAUAGUUCAGAGAAGAAUCUUGCAUGAUCACUAACAACGUAAGGGAAAAUCAAACUUUGUGUUGCUUGUUUUAUGAAUCUCUUUAUUUUUUAUUUCAAAUUUAUGAGUGUCUCACUUUUCCACAGUUUCUAAUCUGUUAUUGUUUUGGGAAAGUGGUUAAAAUGGUAUGAAAUCAUAUCUCAAUUCUCAAUUUCUGAACUUAUCAAAAUCAAAUAUCGACAACAUACUGAAAAAUUGAUAAUUUCAGUGAUUGGGUAAAAAAUGAUCAUUUUAGCCAAAUUCCCUCUUAUUUUCUGUUGUCGUAAUUUAGAUUGCAACUUUUGUAAGUUUUUCUGAUUUUGGUGUUGGUUUUUGUAGUUAAGUAUCAAGGAAUGUGUCAAGCCCCUAUUUGGACAUUCGUUUAGAAUCGACACGUGACGUCACCAAAUACCUGUACAUCUACCAUACCCUACUUCCAGGAUACGGGCCAAACACAACUCACGAUCCAAAAGCAUAGUAAUUUUUUUCGUAUACUUUAUGGCUGCAUCUAACCUCCUCAUUAGAUUGCCUACGUAUCAUAAACAGGGAUCAAGCCAUUCAUAGUUCGUCCUUCACUACCCUUGAACAAUCAUCACAUAAAUAAAUAUGUCUCAAUAUAAUACCUUCAUCCAUACCAUGUAACAUAUCAAAUAACAAACGAAGCACAGUAAUAUUCUCUAGUCAUGUUGCCAUUCACCCACACAUAUGUUUUCCAACACCAUCCAACAAUCACACCAAUCAAUAACACAUACAAUACAUCGACAUGCAGGGCUAAAGUGACAAAGUUCGGUCGAAACCUACAUCUCUAAAGCUGAAAUCGAAUCCAAGGAACCCAAACCACCCCUAGCUCGUCCCAUAUUCCUUCACGAGCCCAGAGCUUAAACUCGAGCAACUCUCGGACCUCACAUCAGAGAAAACAGGAAAUGGAGAACUACGACAAGUUCUCAAAUUCUUUCGACCGAGGUAAAACUCGAAAUACCUUCAAUCUCUACCCUUUUGAUGUUCUGAUUCAAUUUUUGAGUUGUAUACGUGUUGUGACGACGUUUAGGUGCAAAAAUCACUCGAGGAUGAACUCCCUAGUUUUCUGGCGAAGUCCGCAAGUUUCAGACCAUUUUUCUGGCCAAAACCUUUGGGCCAUUGUUCUAGCCCAACCCAACAACUCAGUCAACCUAAUCUAACCUAGCAAACCUGGCCUAACCUAGUGACCCGGAUCUGUGAAACCUGCCCAAGCCUAGAUUCGUGGGCCAGAUCCACCCUGGGAUCCGGCCCGACCCAAUUCCCAAAUGGAUUUGAAAUAUUCCAGAAUAUUCCAAGAAUAUUCUUUGGAAUAUUCCUUGUGUUGACUUUUAUGAUAUUUUCUCACGAACCUUCUUAGACUAAUUUCGACGCCUUGAGUCCGUUUUUGACAUCUAUUUAGUGAAAUUAUAAAGAUUUAAUAUGGUUGACCGGCUCGGUGUCUCGAUUCACUUUUUGGGUCAACUGUUGACUUUUCGUUGACUUUUUACAAAAUUUACCCGGGACUUCUCGUAGGGUAAUUCGACGCGCUGAUUCUGAAUCUGCUGUCUGUUUCUCCAAAUUCAAAUGUUUUAAUUAAGUUUUUACUAAUGGGCCUCUAUUAUGCUUAGGUACUCUUUAGCAUUGGCGAAUUCUUAUUUACAUGUCUGAAUGUCAGUAACCUUGCAAGUACCUGUGAGUGGACCCCUUCUCAAAUUGCAUGUUUUCAUAACUAUUAGGCUUGCAUUCAUGAAAAUAAUAUUUUUUAUAAUUCUACAUUUUAUGAAUUAUUUAUGCUUCAUAUUUGAUUUAUAUUGCUUUCACGAAGUCUUUAUGAAUUAUCUUAAUAGAUUUUGAAGAAUUAUUUAUAAUCCAUUGGUUUAAUGUUUAUGAGAACUCGUAUUUAUGGAAAUCACGUUUAUGGAUUUAUAAGAUUUGAGAUAUGUUUUAUAUACUUAUCUAGUGGGUUAUCAUACAACACAUACACACAACCUGACUAUGUAGACGUCUAUGGCCAUAGGACACAGUUGAGGAUAUUUAUGACAUACUCCCAGCUUUACUGGCGAAACCAGUGUCGGACAACUUUAAUAGCCACGGCUAGUGUCGGUAUGUUAUGUUUAUAGUUAUAUUUUCUUCUCUCGCGUAACCCAGAGUCGUAUAGCUUCACCUUCGGGUGAUGGGACCUACCAUGUUUCUUCACCGGCAUAACCUAGAGUCGUACAACUUCACCUCCAGGUGAUGAUUAUGCCUUCGGGCGACUAUGAUACCCCUAGUUGAGUAUAUCACAGAGUUUAUUUACGAGAUUCUCAUAUCUGCCUUCGGGUGUUACUAUCGAUUUCCAAAGAGGAUUUUAUCGUUACAAAAUUUUUAGCAUGCUAGAGUUUCCAAAAAAACUAUUAUGUAGUAUUAUAUGGGUUUUCAAAACAGAGAGUUAAUAUGUUCAGAAAAAGAAAACGUUUUUUGUAUUAUUACUACUAUUAUUAUAAAUUAUCGUCCACUUACCCUUUCAUUCUUGCGCCCCCUUCAGGAUUUAGAAUCGAGACGUACGAUCCCGGCGUCAGGGCACUUCCGUAUAGGUAUCUUUGAGUCUUCUCAGUGUAUGGCCCAUUUCCCUUGUUCGUGCCUUUUUAUAAUUAUUCUUUCACAUUAUUCUUGCUUAGUUGUAGGCUCUGAACACGUUUCCUUAAUUGCGUAUUUCUUUAUAGUUACAUAUUUUAGUCACUUUUGUUUACUGAUACCACUUGCAUGCAUGUUAAAAUGGCUUCGUCACCUUUAGGUGUCAGCCAGCAUGUGCCUACCCUAGUAUUCGAGGAUAUCGGGGUUGGGGCAUGUCAGCCUGGGUGGUCGUAGGUGCACAGGGGCGCGCGUGGGCCAUCAGACCUUGGGCCUGCGCUGCGUGCUGGGCUAGUGCUUGCUCUUCAUGGGUCUGGGCCUAGCUAGUAGUGAGUUGGGCUCGACUGGUAACGAGCUGGUCCUUAGUCGUCUGCCCAUGGGUUCUUUUUGCUGGUUGGCCAGCUCUGCUGGUCUUCCGUGCACCUGGACCUGCUGCAGUGGCUUAGGCCUCAUUCCCUGGGCCUAAUAUGGCAGCUGUCACGUUUUCGACCUCUUACAUGUGGUUCGUGAGCCCCUGUUUCAACGUAGUUGGCCAUUUGUAGCACGCGCUUGGGCCUCGGCUUAGGCUGCUACUAUGAAAUCACAUUCUUGGAUUUCACUAUUAUAAUUUCCAUGUUUUGUAUUCGCGAAAUUUUAUAUUAUUUUUUGCAAAUUUAAUUUAAUUUAGUUAAUUUAGAAUUUUAAUUCCUUAGUUACAAAGUUUGAAAUUUUGAAAAGAAUCAUUUAAAAUUUGUAGACCUUUCAAGUUCAAAAUUAAUGUUUUCAAAAAAGAUCAAUCAUACGAACGUGUAGGCAAAAGCCGUUCACGAACGGAGCUAUAACAAAGUUAUGAGUGACGAAAGUUGGAGAUAAAUGUUAAUUUAGGAAUUUCUCUAAAUGAAAACUUACUAUUUUUAUUUGGAAGAGGGACCAAUCAGAUUGGGGAAAAGCCCAUUUAAUGGGAGGAUGGACUAAUCAGAAAUGGGAGGAAGGUUGACCAAUCAGAAAAGAUAGAACCAACAGAGCCGAAUCCUCCCUCAACCCGCAGGACCCGGUUUCUGGCGACUUUUGCUUCCUUUUUUUUGUCAAUUUUUCGACGAGUUGGAGACAUCCAUCACCACCACAUGACUCAUCAACCUCCCCUCUUCAAUUCUCACCUAAACUCAACUCAGUUUUACUCUAAUUUCAUGAUGAACUCCUUCGGCGAGUUCAUGAGUCCUGCAUUGGUGAUCUGCCAUUUUUUAAAGUUAUUUUUUUUACCACCACCACCCACAAACACCCUUUAAGCCCAGGAACAUGACCCAAACAAGUUUGGGGUGAACAGAGCAACGAAGAGGAUGAAUCAAAGUGCACCAUUUUUAGGGUUUUCCGAUGGAUCGUGGUAUUAUCAGGCCUUAGACCUCGACCCAUGUAUAAAACUUACUCCCUUCUUCAAGAUCUUUAUUUUGGUAUAAUUUGAGAAAUUUUGGAGUUAGGUGAAUUUUCGAACAAAUCGGGGCGGUCAACCACCUCGUGCGGCAGCGCGUGCUGGUGGCGCAUAGCUCGAGGACCCAUUUGGUCCUUCUUGAGUACAUUUGAUGCCCAAUUCCAUAUUUGAUAUCUGAUUGAAAAAAAUUUGUCGCUUGAACAUAUUUUCGUUAGGGUCCGCCACUUGAAUAUUGUAACUUUGAGAUGUGGAGGCAAUUGAAGAUUAGAGUUUGAUUAUCAAGGAAAUGGAAACAGGCUUCAAGCUUGGUUUGAGAUGUGGAGGCAACUGCUGAUACAUAUAUGUUUGGAUGCUAUGUUUAGAAUUAUUUAAUUUUGCAUUGACAUGGUUAAAAUUCUAGAAGAAAAAAAAUGAGAAAUUUCCUUGUUAUGAUGUUCAAGAUAUGAACUGUGAUAGCCACAACUAUUAUGUCAUAUUUUAGAAGGAAUACUUUUUGCCUUUAGCAACAUUUUUAUUUUGUUGAAAAGAAGGAAGAAAGAUGCUAUUUGUGGCAUUUGUUAUGCUAUUUGUUUCAUAGGAAAUCUGGAAAAAUCUACCAAAAAUCCCUCCAAUUUUUUUUCGUCAGCAAAAUCAAUUCCAAAAGAAAGAUUAAUGAGGCUUUCAAAAAAAUUUUAAAAAAAUUAAAAUGCUCAAAGUCCAAGAAUUCUCACCAAUUUAUUUUAGUCAUUAAAAUUAUACUUAAUGAGGUUUCCAAAAUUCUAGGCACAUUAAAAACAAUAUAAGGGCAAAUUUGGAAAUCAAAUUAAAAUAAUUAAAAUAGAUAAAUCAGAAAUAUAGGAGUGUGGAUUGAGAUUUUGAGGGUGUCAAUAACAGCUACCUAUGCAAUUUUGUUGGUUAUUAUGUACUAAAAUAUAUAAAUACAAAUAUAUAUAGGGAACUGUUAUUAUCACUCCAAAAAUUUUAUUCUACACUCCUCAUAAGUGUAUUUUUUUUUUUAAUUAUAGAAAGUUUGGAGUGUCAAAUGAGAUUUUUUGAGUGUCUAUAUAUAUAUUGUUGAUGCACAAAACCGGAGGUCUUGGAACAACGUAAAUCCGACCGUGAAUCUGCAUAAAAUGUAAAUAACACAAGAUGUAUCGUGGUUCACCCCAAGGUUUGGGCUACGUCCACAUUGAUAGUUGAUUCUGUUUCUCUGUAAUUGUAUGGAUACAAGUGUUUGGGGGAAGUCCCCCGGAGGAGAAAGAAGAGAAGGGAGAGGAGAGCCUCGGUGGUGUGAGGUCUCUCCUGAAUGUAAUGAUAGCUUCUCUUAGCCUUCUUAGGCUUGGCUCUUUUGCCUCCUUUAGAAUGAGGGUAGGAGUCCCCUUUUAUAGAAUAAGGGGCUCCUCCUCUUUUACAAAGUAUGGGCUUUAGUGUGAGGCCCAAAUACAAGGCCCAAGGCCCAAAUAUACGAGGCCCUAAAUAUGGUAUAAACAUAUAUAUAUUUGUUAAAUAGUUUUUUUUUUAUUUUUUUUAUUUUUGGAAAAUAAUUUAUAACGGGCAUUAGCUGUGGUCAAUUAGUAAUCGACAAUGGUCAUAGCAUGUGGUGUUAAACCCCAAUCCACCAAGGGUACAAUCCAUGGUUAUAUUGCAAUUGACAACGGGUAUAGCCUGUCGUAGAAACUGAGACUUUUUAUUACAUCUAGAAUACUAAUGAACACAGUAUCCGUGGUGGAUUGUAAUUUAUCACGGGUAGGUGUAGUAUUGGUACAAUUACCAUACCAAAACCCAUGUACCAACCUUAUGAUAUGACAAAAUCUAUUACCAUUACCGUGCCAAACUUUCGGUAUACCGAAUUUCGGCAUGCCAAAUAGUUUGAUCGGCAUGGUAUGGUGAUGAUAAUUACCACUUUGUUUUGGGCCAAAAUUUGAUUUUCUUUUUCUUUUUCUUUUUCCACCCAAUUCAAGGCCCAAACGUGUUUUGGCCACUUUUUUUGGCUUUCUAAAACUUUUUAAUUUAAUUAUGAGAAUUUUAUAGAGAUUCAUUUAAGAAACAAGAAGUAAAUAAAUAGAAGAAUUGCUGAAAGAACCCAACAUCCCAGAAAAAAAAUACCUCAAAGAUUCUUAAAUUCCAUUUCUACAUUAUUUAAAAUUGUACAAAAAUUAACUUGAUAGACGAAGCUAGGGAGAAAGACAUCUCAAUUUGAUGAAGGAGAAGAUGAGAUGGAUUGCGAAGAGAGAGAAUCUUCGGAACGGGAGCAACAUAGAUGAAGCUGAUGGCUAGAUGAGAGAAAAAAUGAAGAGUCGCAGAAUAAGAAGGCUUAUGUUUUUUAUUGGGAAAGUAGAGGCUAAACGGUGAGAUGAUUUGAUAAAUGACUAGGAAAAAAAUAUAUAAAAUGCAUACAUAAUGAUAAUAAUACAUAAUUAUAUAUAAAAAUGAAUAAAUAAACGGUAUAAUAUUAAUAGUGGUGGUACGGUAGGGUAUACCAUUGGUAAUAGUUUUAAGUAUCAAUAUUGUACCGAAAAUGUAUGGUACGGUAUAAAUACCGUACCAUUACCAAUGGUACAAAUUUUUUGGCACAACUUCUGUAUGGUAGGGUUGGUAAUUCGGUUAGUAUGGUAAUUUGGCAAAAAAUUUCAUCCCUCACAGGCAUUCAUCUAGAUAGAUGAACUUUUUUUUCCUAAUGUGUACCACUUAUGUUAUGAGCAUAAAGAAAAAUUUCUCUGAACAAGGAGCAAGUGGGAAUAAUAAAUCUGAACUAUAGCACGUACACGUAGAUAACAAGACGAGGAAAAGCAUCGAGGCAACGUUCUCCGAGAAGCUUUCAGGAACAAGAUCCGUUGACGACGAAGUAGACUUUCCUGUGCAUAGUCGACUUGGUGGGAAGUUUCCUCGUGGGGCCAUUUGAUUGGUGGGACAAAGACGUCCGUAAUUAUAAUUAUAAUGAUAGGAUUGAUUCCUCUACUCUAGAUUGAAUUGGAGCUGAAUGAUUGAAUUUGUAAGGCCCUGAUUGGGGGGAUUCCUCAUUGGUCAUCAUGGCUUUGAUUGAUUAAAUGGACAUAUAGCUAGCUUGAAUUGGAACUGAAUGAUUGCACUUAAACGGUCCUGAUUGGGCGGACUCCUCUUUGGUCAUCAUGGCUCUGAUUGAUAUCAGUAUAAAGAAAGACAUUGACCAUUCUGGUUUCCAACUCUCUCCAUCUACUGUUUUUGAGCAGAUCGGCUAAAGCUUGAAGAUGAACAAGUUGAUAAAGUUUGUUUAUUUUGUGUUUUUGAUUGAGUGUUUGAAUCGGUUUCUUUUUGGUAGGAUAGUAGAGAAAUUGAAAAAGAUAACUUGGAGAUUGGUUUCUGCUAUGCAAAUAAUGCAGCAGCCUUGAUUGAAUAAGAAGAGUGAUUUUUACACAAGAGUAUGGUGCAUUUCCAUCACCCAUACUUUCUACAAAAGGUGAUUGACAAGAGGCCUUAACAACCAUUAAGCCUUACUACUCCAGAUUACAUCUUAACCCUUCAUUUUGGGGUUAAAUGAUUUAAUCUGGAGUGUACAUUUGUCACUCACACACUUACACAAACAUUUAAAAACAAAACUAGCCGUUGGAGACUAGAACCCUUCAUUUUCUUUCUUCUUCUUCGAUGCAGAUGACAUCCUUUUGCUCGGGAGUAUCUUGCUGCCUUCGACUCCCCGACUCCAGGAGCUGGUUAGCUUCCAACACUCCCUUCUAAACUGCUUCUGGGAGUCAAUCCGAGCAAACCCCUCAGGUAAUUGAAUCUCUCCUUCGGUAGUGCUUUUGUGAAUAUGUCUGCGAUCUGAUCUUCUGUGCUGCAAUAGAUUAGCUUGAUUGUGUUGUCUUGCAAUGCUUCUCUGAUGAAAUGAUAUCUUCUCUUGAUGUGUUUUGUUCUCUGAUGAAAUACUGGGUUUUUAGUCAUGGCAAUUGCAGAGGUGUUGUCACACAGAAGUGGUGUGGCUUCAACUUGCAAUUCGCCAAAAUCUUUAAGUAUGAACCUUAGCCAAAUGGCUUGAGAUGUAGCUUCUGAUGCACUUACAUACUCUGCCUCGGCUGUGGACAGUGCAACACUUUGUUGCUUCACAGAGGCCCAUGAAAAAACCCCUGAUCCGAAAGUGAAAGCAUAGCCCGAUGUGCUUCUACUAUCAUCCUCACUGCCACCCCAGUCACUGUCACAGAAUCCAAUUAGAAUAGAUGACUUUCCCAUCUCAUAUUUGAUCCCAUAAUCAAGAGUUCCUUGCACAUAUCUUAGCACUCUCUUAGCCGUGCCCAUAUGUAUCUUGCUAGGAUUCUGCAUAAACCUAGAAAGUAGGCUUGCUGAGAACAUCAGAUCCGGCCUUGUUGCUGUUAGAUACAAUAGACUGCCAACAAUGCUUUUAUAGAGACUAGCAUCUGCAGGUUCACUUCCAUCCUCCUUCUUGAGCUUCUCAUUUGCAAUUAAGGGUGUAGAAAACUGGUUUGCAACCUUUCAAACCAAACUUUUCAAGCAAAGUUUCAGCAUACUUCUUUUGAUGAAUAAAAAUGCUACUUGCUUUUUGAAUUACCCCAAUGCCAAGAAAAUGAUGCAAGAGGCCUAGGUCAGUCAUCUCGUACCUCUUCAUCAUUUCUUCCUUGAACUCUUCCAUCAUUGCAGCAUCAUUUCCAGUGUAGACAACAUCAUCCACAUAGAUUGAGACAAUGAGUGUCUUGUUGUUGCUUUCUGUCUUGGUGUAGAGUGUAGCUUCACUAGGACUUUUCUGAAAUCCUUUCUCAAUGAAAUAUGAAUCAAUCUCACUGUACCAAGCUCUUGGAGCUUGUUUUAGGCCAUAAAGAGCCUUCCUCAACUUGUACACUUUUUCUGGAAACUCUUGAUUUGUGAACCCUUGAGGUUGUUCCACAAACACUUCCUCCUCUAGCACUCCAUUUAGAAAUGCAGAUUUAACAUCCAAUUGAUGCAACUUCCAACCCUUCUUGGCUGCUAGUGCUAUCAAGGUCCUUAUGGUGUCUAACCUUGCUACUGGAGCAAAGGUUUCAUUGAAGUCUACACCAGGUUUCUGUGAGUAACCUUUGGCCACUAACCUGGCCUUGUUCUUUUGCACAGAACCAUCUAGAUUUAGCUUCACUUUGUACACCCAUUUUACACCAAUCACAGGCUUCUCACUUGGUCGAUUUACAAGUUCCCAAGUGUCAUUCUUUUCUAUCAUUUCAAGCUCUUCCUUCAUUGCUUUCUUCCAAGCUUUGUCUUUCUCAGCUUCUUCAUACGUUUCUGGUUCUACUACACAGUAAUUACAUGUAGCAUAAAUCUCAUCCAGAUUUCUCAAUCUUACUGGAGUUGAACUAGGAGUUGUUGUCUGUGAUUGACUUGAUUGUGGACUCAUAGUAGCUUGCUGUGGAGUCCCUUGUAUGUCACCAUUAUCUGUGACUUCUUCUUGAACUGAGGUCUCUAUAGGCUCCCUUGUUUGCCUUUUGUUUAGGUCAAUUUGUAGAGAGACACUGUCCUUUUCCUCUACCAUUGUAUCCCAGUUCCACAUUGAGUCUUCAUCAAAGAUAAUAUCCCUUGAUAGGAUUAUCUUUUGAGUCAAUACAUUAUAAACUCUGUAUCCUUUCUCACUGGUACCAUAGCCUACAAAAACACCCUUGUUACUUGAUUUCUCCAACUUGUGCCUUAGUUGAUGAGGGAUGAGAUUGUAGCAUACUGAGCCAAACACUCUCAGAUGCUUCACAGAAGGCUUCCUUCCACUGAACACUUCAAAUGGAGUCUUCUUCUCCAAUGCCUUAGUAGGACACCUAUUCAAUAGAUACACUGAGGUGUGUUCACAGCUUCACCCCAAAAUUUAUAAGGCAUGUUCUUCUCAUGCAUCAUAGACUUAGCCAUUUCGACUAUAGUCCUAUUCUUCCUUUCUGCAAUCCCAUUCUGUUGUGGUGUAUAUGCCACAGUGAGUUGCUUCUCUAACCCUACAUCUUCACAAAAUACAUUGAACUCAUGUGAGGUGUACUCACCACCCCUAUCACUUCUUAGUCUUUUGAUUUGGUAUCCACUUUGCAAUUCCACCAUUGCCUUAAACUUCUUGAAUAUUGUGAAUACCUCAGACUUGAACCUCAUGAAAUACACACCACACAUCCGUGAAUAAUCAUCAUCAUGAAGGUUAGGAAAUACCUGUUUCCACUGAUUGUUGUUGUUCUCAUUGGUCCACACACAUCUGAGUGAAUCAAUUCGAGUGGCUUUGUUGCCCUCCAAGCCUUUCCAGCUUCAAAUGAAUCUCUGUGAUGCUUGCCAAACACACACCCUUCACAGAUUUCAUUGCAUUGAUCCAUUUUUUGGUAUACCUUGCACCAUUUCAUCCUUUUGCAGAUUUUGUAAGCUUGUCAUGUUUAAAUGACCAAGUCUCUUGUGCCAUAGUUUCAUAGAACUUGUCACACUUGCUUUCUUUGCCACUUCUUCUAAGUACUUCAGUACAAGUGGAAAGCUUCUGUUUUUCACUUCCACUUUGGUCACCAAGUUUGAUAGGGAUCUGUCAUCAUAGAUCUCAACCACAGUCCCCCCAAAGAGUAGGAAAUAGCCAUGCUCCAUCAUUUGACCCACACUAAGUAGAUUCUCAUCCAAUCCAGGCACUAGCAUCACCUCCCUUAUACAUCUUCUUCCUUUCUUGGUGUUGAUAACCAGAGUUCCUCUUCCAGUGGCUUUGACAAUGUUUCCAUCACCCAUUUUCACUUUUCCAGUGAAGUUUGUGUCGAUGUCAAUAAGUAAAGACUCAUGUGCAGUCAUGUGGUUGCUGCAGCCACUGUCAAUGUACCACACUUCAUUGUUUCUCUCCAUUUUUGCAUUGAAAGCACAGAACACAUUUGCUUCUUCUUCCACUUGAUUUGCACAGUUUACUUGUUGCACAUUCUUUGAUCUGCAGUCCUUCAUAAUGUGCCCAAACCUGUUGCAUUUGUGGCAUCUAGGCUUGUCCUUGAACCAACACUCUCCAAGGUGGAAUUUAUCACAGUGCUUACAUUGCUGCUUGGUUCUUGGACCUACAUUGGUGUUGCUGCCUUGGUUAGGUCUUGAGUUGUGAUACCCUUUUCCUUCCCAUUUCUUGCUUUUGCCCUUCCACUGUGGUUUCUGAUUGCUUGCACUGGCUUGACUGCUAGAUCCAACAUUGAGUGUUUGAAAGGCUUUCUCAGGUGCAGAGUCAGCAUGCCUCUCGAGCCUUUGAUCAAAAGCUCUUAAGGAUGCCAUCACCUCUUGUACACUGAGUGUUUCAGUGUCUUUGGUUUCUUCUAUAACACUCACUAUUGAAUCAUAGGGUUUAGUCAAACUAAUCAACAGUUUUUGGACAAUUCUUUCAUUAGGCAGUUCCUCACCAUAUGUUUUCAUCUUGUUUACAACAUCAUCAAACAGCCUAGUGAAGUAGUCUUUUAACAGCUCAUUUUUCCCUCAUUCUUGUAUACUCAAAAUCUCUUCUAAGGGACUGAAGUUUUACCUUUCUAACUUUGGUGUCUCCUCUGUAUUCUUGCUGUAAAACUUCCCAAGCUCCCUUUGCAGUCUCUUCAUUUGCUAUCCUCGGAAAAAUGGUGUUGUCUGAGACAGCACCUUGAAUGAUUCCAAGUGCUCUAGCAUCCUCCAUCCGAUUCUGCUUCAGUGUUUUGAGUUGUGUUUCUGUGAGAUCCUCCUCUAGAGCAUCGAUCUCCAUCUCAGGUAGUUCAUACCCAUGUUGAACCAUAUAUCCCAUAGAUCAUAGGAUUUGAAAAUGGUUGUCAUUCUUAUUCUCCAAAAAUCAUAAUUCUCCCCAUCAAAGACUGGAGCUUUUAGCUCACUGCUACUGCUGGAUCCUUUCAUUUCCAGAAUUGUUUGUUGAUUAUUGUUAUAGAAGACACUACGUUGGUGCUCCCAAAGAUCUUAUCUUGCACAGAUUACGCCCCGAAAGUUGUAAGAUCAAUAACAAAGCUCUGAGGCCAUGAUAAAGUUUGUUUAUUUUGUGUUUUUGAUUGAGUGUUUGAAUCGGUUUCUUUUUGGUAGGAUAGUAGAGAAAUUGAAAAAGAUAACUUGGAGAUUGGUUUCUGCUAUGCAAAUAAUGCAGCAGCCUUGAUUGAAUAAGAAGAGUGAUUUUACACAAGAGUAUGGUGCAUUUCCAUCACCCAUACUUUCUACAAAAGGUGAUUGACAAGAGGCCUUAACAACCAUUAAGCCUUACUACUCCAGAUUACAUCUUAACCCUUCAUUUUGGGGUUAAAUGAUUUAAUCUGGAGUGUACAUUUGUCACUCACACACUUACACAAACAUUUAAAAACAAAACUAGCCGUUGGAGACUAGAACCCUUCAUUUUCUUUCUUCUUCUUCGAUGCAGAUGACAUCCUUUUGCUCGGGAGUAUCUUGCUGCCUUCGACUCCCCGACUCCAGGAGCUGGUUAGCUUCCAACACAAGUAAGUCAACUUCAAACUCCUCGUAUCCUUAUUUUUCUUUGAAUCCUUUGUCGUUGAUUGAUCUUAUACUGUCUUGAUUAAGCAGACAUUGUUCUGAAAUGGCUGAAGGGUGUUUUUCAACAAGUAAAAGCUCUUACGGUUAAAUCUGGCAAAAGAAACUUACAAAACGCUUUUAGAUAGUGUAAGCUCUUUUCGGAGAAGCACUUGCUAUGGCUAGACUUUUACCAAACACAAUUUUAGCUCCAACUUUUCUAAAAACUGUUUUUAAAAAUAAAAUUGAGCAACCUCAGACCCGCCCAUGUCAACAUUCAAGUUUUCAAGUGCUUUUUCAAAGAGCACUUGAGUAUUUAAUAAACAUGUCUAAUCUGUUCAUAGUAAAAGAGAACUGCUUAUGAGUAGAGUGUUUCUUACGAGUACAAUGGCUUUAUAAUCGUCCUUAUAAUUUACCCAUGUGGAAUUUCAUUCUUACUAGUGUUUUGCUAAAGUGACUUCACUAGAAAUACGGCGAAAGUUCUUUAGAAAACACUUCUCCUACUCGUAUACAUUUUUAAGUUUUUCUUUCAAUAUAAUGAAAAACAUUUUUUAUCGUUAGAUUGACAUUGUUAGCUAUUUCAAAAGCAGUUUCAAACGUGUUUAUUAUUAUAUGGUUGGGUGUUAUUUGCUUACAUACUCCAUUUAACUUUGUUUCAAUAUUUUGUUGGUGAUGACAGUAUUAGCAGUGCUGGGCUUGAACUAGAAAAUGUGCUGGUGACUUCUCCUCCCCUGCACCAGUCAUGGGACGCUGUUCAGAAGCAAAAGCUCAACACAGCUCCUGAUCCGAAUGCACAAACGGCCUUAUAUGUUACUGAAACCAAGCACUCAAACACCACCAUCAUAUCUUUUCUUACUUCACCCGUCACACUUCAAGAUCAACAAGCGAUGAUUUCGUCGUUGACUCUCAGGGACAAAAAAUUUCCCCUCUUUGAGUUUUUGUGCACCAAAUACAACACAAGUUUCACCGUCAAUGAUUUGGCAAUCAAAUUCUUCGCCUUGAAUUACGACAACCUCAACCUCGAUCUUCUGAGAACAAAGGUGCAUAUUGUUGUCUCUCUGAUAACUGAUAGUGUUUAACCGCUUAGACUAUUAAUGUUAGUGAGAAACAUUUAAAAAUCAUGUUUAUAAUGUUAGAUUAUGUUAGCGUGAUACACAUACAAACCCCUCAUUAAUACUGUUAUAAGGGUGCAUUUGUUAUCUCGGACUUGACUAGCUUGCUUGGUUUGGACUAUGCAGGAUAAGAAUAGUGGGCUCAAACAAUUAAUUUCAAUUUUCUUUUAAUUUUUUUACUUCUCCCUCCACCUGUUACACACCUCACUCAAUAAAAUGUCCUACGAACACCAGAACUUCACAAUGCACUACGUGCAACGAACAUAAUUAUAUUUUCCACUUUGUAAUUGUGCAGAGACUUUCAUAAUUUUCUUUCAAAUUAACACUACCAAUCUUUAUUAGAACCAAAAAAUGGAAAAACUUAUCGAUUUGCACAAUUUACUAGAUUUUAAAAUUGCCAGAUACUUUUUAUGAAGGGAAAAAAAAUGAUGCGUGAACAACACUUCUCACAAAAAAAAAUAAUGAAAUAUAUAAAUACAUACCAAAGUAAAUGUUUGCACACACUAACAUGCAAUAUAUGCAGUUUUUCAUUUUGUCAAACAAAUACAACAUAGCACAUUAAAGACAUUUUGUAAAUCCUAUGGGCUAGUUAAUAUGGGCAACAACCUUGUGUUUGGUUGUCAAGGACUUAGCAGGAUCUUCGAAAUUGUUCCAUAACACUGAUCCGAAAUUGCAUUCUUUAAUCCCUGCUUGCAAAUGCAAAAGUGGUUAUCAAUCUCUCCCUACUACUGUAAAAGGGAGAUAAUGAUAGAACUAAUUCAAUGUGAUAAACUAUAAGCUUCAAUGAAAUCAAAUGACAGGAGAAAAUUAAUGCAAGUCACCACUUCUUGAGGAUGAAGAGGGAGAGCAUCGAUGAAUAUUUUAGUUCAAAUUAAGGGAUUUCUUCUAAGGAGAUUUAUAGGGUUACUUAUAUGCAAGAUGACAUUUAUGUAAACCUGUGUGGAUGACGGAGAACAUAUAGUUAAUAUAUUAUAGUUGAGAAAAGCUAUCUUUCUUCUUGUAGUUCAUUUGUAAAUUUAUAAGAAUACCUCAGGUUUAUGUAUUACCAUCACCCAGCUUUAAACCAUAUAAACCUGUGUGGAUGACUGAUUUUGUAAUGUAAAAGAUAGAAAAUCAAGAUGACGUUUAGGAGUCAAGAUAAGUGGGAAAGGAAUGCAAGAUGAGUGGAAGUCACAAAGCGGAUAGCCUUUUAUAUGGCCUCAAGGUUGAUAAAUUUACAAUGGUUAAGGAUGCAAAUCCGAUAUCUCCAUAAGUUUGAGUCAGUAGAGGCACUUGAAAAUAGAAUGAUAAGAUGGUAACUUCAUUCUGGUUAAUCGAAUGUUUUAGCUAGCAGCAAGUGGGUCAAGGCUCGAUGCCAAAGUCAUAAACUACGGUUUUAAAGCACAUAUCAGCCACCAAAACCCAGAGUACUCAUGUCAAAUAUUAACAGCCAAAACCCUGAGUACACACAAUAAACUAUAAUUCAUUAAUGGGAAUGAAACAUCUGAGAAAAUGUGAACUCAACAACCAAAACCCAGUGUACCCAUGUCAAAUAUUAACAACAAAGGAAUUUAUGUAUGUAUGUCAAGAAUCAAACAAAAAAUUAUCACCCAAAAUAAAAAUCAAUCAGGGCUGCUUUAUGUAUUAGGAAGCCCAGAACCACUAUUCUAAGUGUUAGGCAGUUGGCCAUCACCCCGAUUAAUGCCUAGACGUUUAAAAAUUAAAAAAGGGUGCCUUGACUUGUUGAGGCACCCUCCUCGACCGCCUAACCCGUCCAGACCUGCCUAGGCAUCCGCCAAGGUCACGACUCACUUAAACAGAAAAAAUAUCACUUUCAUUUUGCAUUUUAUUUUUUCAAUAAAUUGUAAGAUUUGUUGCAUACUUAAAUGAACACACAUUUUAUCCUUGUUCCCCAUGAUUUCAUUAUGUUCCAAUACUUCAUAAUAUAUAUGUCAUUCUAUUUUGUAGUUUAUGAUGAAAUUAUAUAUAUUUUAAGUAUAAAUAGGCACUUAUUUACACGAAAUAUAAUAGAUUUUACUUAAAUCCGCCUAGUCCGCCUAGGCCCCGUCUAGCCGCCUAGGUUCUUGGUCCAAACCUGCCGCCCGACUAGCGCCUAGCGUCUUUUAGAACCUUGCCCAGAACAAUAUAAAAAAACGGCUAUGGGUUAUAGAUCAGAAAAUGGUGCUUUUGCAUGCUCAAAAGAUUGUUAAAAGGCCAUAAAAUGGUGAUUUUUAUGUAACCAAAUCGGAGAAUUUUGGAUAAGAUUAAACAACAAUAAGCAGGGAACAAAGAAAAAAUUGCAAUCAACUUACAAAAACUUAGCAAUUAGUUCACAGAAGGAAAAGUAGCAGAUAAAUUGGGUAGCAAUCAAUUAAAAAACACACCCAAUCACAGAACACAAAUGUACACGCACCCAAUUUUUGUGCUAGAAAUUCAAAAAAUUUAGAGAUUUCGCACGCAAACAACGAAAUCGAUCAAAACCCAAUAAUAAUUACGAUCUGCAAAACAAAAUUGAAGAAAUUGAUUGUUAGAUUCAGAAUUUACCAGACAGGACAAGGAUGAAGGAGCGGGACGAGGAUGAGGGAGAAGAUCGAGCGUGACAAGGAUGGGCGAGCAGGACCAGGACGAGCGAGCAACUAUCUCGAAGAUGGUCUUAGCAAUCCGGUGAUAUUGGGGUUCUCGCUAAGAACUUCUAGUGAAGCGGUUUGUUGGAGCGAGUCCGACUUAAUCCCAUUAAACUUAAUGUCUAACAAACACAAUAUUACACUAACAAUUAGUCAUAUUUAGUUCAAUGAGAGCUAGUGAGCCUAAACAAACACACCUUAAGAGCUUAAUGUAGUAACAGUUGAGUCUCUUCCCCUUUUAAAGAAAAUUAAUAAAAAAUGCUUUAAAACUUUGCAUUUUAAUCAAAAAUCAUUUAGUAACUUUAUUUAAUGAGAAAGAUAAAAAAAUAAAAAAUUUAAACAUGCAUGUGCCCAGCCCGCGUCCCCCCCCCCCCCCCAAUAUAACCAAAUAAGAAAAAGUAAAUGAAAACACACUACACAUACAUAUGAUAUUAUGUAUGAAUUAGCUAAUUGUAACAACGAUGACACCUAUUUUUAGGCCUUUGACAAAAUAAGCAAACACACGUCUAGUGCUAUAAUCUCGUAAGUUUCAUAAACAAUGAAGUAUUGUUAAGUUUCAUAAACAAUGUAGUACAGUUAAGUUUCAUAAACAGUGUAGUAAGUUUCAUAAAUAAUGUGUAUGUGGACGCACGGGUCCCCCGCGUUAGUUUUUCUUUUUAAAAAAAUUAUGUCUUUUUCAUUAAAAUUUAAAGUUCUUUUGUCUUUUUUAUUAAAAUUUAAGAGUUUUUCAUUAAUAUUUAAGUAUUUUUCAUUAAAUAAAGUUAUAGCAUGAUUUUUUGUUGAAAUAAAUUUAGUCAAAUGCCUUUUCAUGAAAGUUCCCUUUCUUUAUUGUUUCAAAACCGAGUUUUAAGUAUUUUUUUCUAAUAUGAAUGAAGUUCUGAGGACCUUAUUCGUAGAGACGUCUCCGAACUGAUUAAAUAGCAGUUCAGUAAUUGACUAACUUUUAUGUAAUAUUUCAGCUGGUAGAAAGCAGCAAAUCCAACUCAUUGGUACUUGUCACUGGACAAUCUUUUGGAGGCGCUGUAGCUACCCUUUUCACCUUAUGGCUGCUAGAAAGCCUCGACUUAUCGAAAGUGAAACGUCCCCUUUGCAUCGCUUUUGGUUCACCCUUGAUCGGUGACAAACAAUUCGGACAAUGUGUGUUGCAAUUCCCAUUGUGGAGUUCUUGCUUCUUGAAUGUAGCCUCCAUCGAUGAUCCUGUACUUCAAUUCUUCCUAACCGCUUCGCAAGCGAGUGGUUAUAAGCCUUUCGGAACAUUCCUACUGUGCUCCUCUUCGGGUGGUUCUUGCUUUGAGGACCCUGAUGCCAUUUUGCAACUAUUGGUGGAAACCAGCUCUCGGUGUGCCCAAAAUCCAGGUCUGAAUUCAGGGAUUCAGUUGUUCGAUUACGGAAAGAUUUUGAAUGAUCUCAAGACUAAGGCAUUGUCUAGAGAUGUCUUUGAGUUGGUUGAAGAGGAUAGAGUUCCACUUAAAGCUGGAAUUAAAACACAGUUGGCAGCAAUAUUAGGAGUUCUCAGCUCACAGGUAUCAAACUUUCAACAGAAAUAUCUGAUUUGAUGAUGAUUUUGGGAAAUGGGUUCCGCACAAACCUGUUUAUUUCCAUCUCUUGAUUCUCCUUUGAUUUAUUUAAUCCAAAGACUAGAAAUAAACACAGGUGUGCAGGGGGGGAAUAUGAGAUUGCGGAAAUCACAUCCCAUGUUUACUUCUAGCUACUAACUUUUCUCUCAACUCCUUUUGUAAAAGUCAUUGCAGCAGCAACAACCCAACAUAGAAUUCGAAAGUCUGAUGAAAAAGAUGGUCACUCACGAACGUAAACUAGCGAUGCAGAAGAUGAAGGUUUACAGUUCCUCCUUGAAACUGAAUGAGAUUGAAAAGUACAUGGCCUACAUGGAAUGGUACAAGGAGGAGUCCAAAGACAUGGGAAUUGGAUACUAUGACAGGUACAAAAACUUGCGCUAUGCGAGUGACCUGAAUGCCAAAGAGUACAAGAAGAGGCUCUCGAAUUACUGGGAGGACACGGUUGCAGAAGCUGAGAGCAAGCCCCAGAAAGAAGGAGCCGCAAUGCCUGCCCCUUUUCUUUUUGCUGGUACGAAUUACAGAAAGAUGAUCGAACCGCUUUGCAUUGCAGAGUACUACA